Molecule: long non-coding RNA, 69467 nt
Filed under: Coffea arabica (coffee)
Lineage: Eukaryota; Viridiplantae; Streptophyta; Magnoliopsida; Gentianales; Rubiaceae
Description: long non-coding RNA (CARA_LNC003070)
Source: RNAcentral
AUGAGAAAGAUAGUAGUUACAACAGAAUUAAAAGCUUGGUAACGGAGGAAUUAAAACAAUAUUUCAGGCCAGAAUUUCUGAAUAGAUUGGAUGAGAUGAUAGUUUUCCGGCAGCUUACUAAGCUGGAAGUGAAGGACAUAGCCGACAUUAUGUUAAAGGAGGUCUUUGACAGGUUGAAGAAAAAGGAAAUAGAGCUUCAGGUUACAGAGAGGUUUAGAGAUAGAGUUGUCGAGGAAGGUUACAACCCAAGCUAUGGAGCAAGGCCACUAAGAAGGGCAAUCAUGAGACUCUUGGAGGAUAGCCUAGCUGAGAAGAUGCUUGCGCGUGAGAUUAAAGAAGGAGAUUCAGUUAUUGUCGAUGUGGAUUCAGAUGGCAAUGUUACCGUUCUCAAUGGCACCAGUGGUGCUCCACCAGAGUCAUUGCCAGAGCCAAUUGCUGUGUAGAUGGAAGCUUGCUGGUUGACUUCUAUGAAUAUUGUUGUUUGUACCGCUGCUUUGAAAUUGAAUUGGGUUCAAAUAUAUCCCGGUUUAGGAAAGUGAUUGGCGGUAGUACUCUUGCUGGUUCGUCGACUAAUGGUUAAAUAUCAUCUAGGGUUGGGUCACAAUGUUGCAUUUUCUUGGCCAGCAAAGAUUCAAAGAAAAUGUGUUCCGACUGUUCCAAGUAAUAUGAGAAAUACAGUGCUAGGGGAGUUGAAUCUUCUGAUACUAGUAAUGAAAGUAAGGUAGAUACUCGCCUUUGAAUGGCUUUCCUCUUGUUUUUAGGAUCUUGAAACGUGUGGAUCAUACGAUAUUAGCAUUUUCUUGUUUUUGGCCUUGUUUUUAUUCCUUUCCGGACUUCUCUUCCUAUGAUGCCUAUUUUCUGUGCUUUUCGAACUCUGGAGUCCAUUCAGGUUGCAGUUUUAUAAUGUCCGCAUGCUUGUUAAUUUAUCUUCCAAGUGCAACAGCCGUGUUUUAUUGAGACAGCAAAUGGCAGUAAUUCCUGGCACCUGUUUCGAAUAUUUUUUUUCCAAAUUAACUCAACAAUAUGCUGUGUUGCUCUUGUUCUCCUGCCUGGUACGUCAAGUGGGAACUCAUCUAGUAACCCGAAGUGUUGUAGUUGUAAUCUCGGAGGGACCAUAAAAUUACAGUUCAAUUGUUAAGCGGGUAGAGCAUGGCUGCUAAUAAAAAGCACCGGAUUUAAAUUUGAAAAAAGGAGUUGUACGUUUCUCAUCGCCUUUCUCGAAGCGAAAUUACUAUUAAACUCGUGUUCUGUAAGAAGGCAAAAUGAAGAAUGCUGGAAGAGCACCCUAUGGUCUACCAAUUACUUAAAAGCUAUUCAUGCUCUGUUGAAAAAAUUUGUUGAUCAUUUGACCAAGAAACUCAGUAACAUAGACGAAGCCUGAGGACUAAUAUCACUUCUUACUGAAUUUUACAGGGUAACUUCUUCGAUUGGAGUACUUCAGAACACCAUUACUGGCGAUUAGGCAGUUUUGCCCGUGAAACAUACACUAAAAAUGAUCUACAUACAGAAGCAUAUGUUUCCGUUUCCGUCCACCUAAACCCAAAAAAAAAAAGACCUUUCCCUUCCUCCUUUGAAAACGUCAUCUAAGCUGAUCUAAUACUUGCAAUCCACCCUACCUCUAUAGUCAAUAAUCCCUCAAGCCCAAUCAUACAAUGUCAGUGCUCCAACUCAUCUAUCAUAGACCGCGAUUGCCUUUCUGUGGGGCUGACGCUUCCACCUCGACUAAUCUUCAGUGCAUCCAGUGCUUUCAGUAUUUCCAUUGUCAUGGCACUGUCUACACUCCCAGAUGAAAGUUUCUUGUGUGACUUCUGCAAAUGAAGCUUCAGUGAGCUACUGCUCAAGCCAGCGUUCUUGCCGCAUAUGGGGCAAACCUUCAUUGUUGGUUUUCGUUGUUGCCAUUCCAUUGAAACUUUACCAUGCAGUUUCAAAUCUAGGUCCAGAAGAACCUUUGCAAAUCCAUCAUUAGGUUGGGCUCGACGGUGCACUCGUUUCAAGGCAUUCCAAGCUUCCAGUAAAGUGUAGUUUCUGCAACCAAAUGCAAAUGAAAAUUCCUUUUCAAAUCAAUACUAUUCAACCUCCCAAGUCAAACAUUAAUUGUAAAAUACUGACCAGUAAUAUUUGCUCAAUUGUUUUCAAAGAUAGUUACUGCAACCCAGUAAUCUGACUGUUCACUUCCUAUAAAGCAAGGGAAAGAAACAAAUCUCUUGGUUGCACUAAAUAAGAAAAAGGGGUAUAUUGCUCAGAAAUGAGCAGCUUGCUGGUGCAUAUCUCAGUUUCGACAAGGGCAUGCUUACCAUUUUACUGAAAAAGACAUAUAACCACCUUCAAAAGGAGACUAGCUGACAUUAGGUUAGAUUUAGAUUAAAGAUUUCAUCAAGGUACGUUUUGUCAAAAAUUAUCUAGUGUACCAUUCAGGUGUGACAAUUUUUAAAUGAUGGCCUAAGAACUUACUUCCUGAGCAUAAGGUAAGCAAGAACUAGAGUAGCACUCCUGCUUUUGCCUUCAAAGCAAUGAACCAAAACCUUUCCACCCGUUUGUUCAACAUGAUCAAUAAAAUCAUGUGCUUCUUUGAAGAUAUCACUGAUCAGUGUAUCUUCAUUGUCGCAGACCUGCCAGUGGAUAGCCAAUCAACAUUAUGAAGCAUUUUGCUCCCUAGCUUCUUCAACAGCUCACAAGUAAAAACAGAAAGGCUUGCUCUAAAAAACCAAAACAAGAACAAAAUAACACUUGGAAUGUCUAAAAGUAUCAUUAAGCAAACAGUUUACAAAAUAUUAAUAAAUUUAUACAUAAACAAACAGUUUGAAAAAAAUUUCCAGAUAGACUAGCAAACAUCAAUAAUUGCACAAUCUCACAAAUAAACAUAAAAGAUUGGCAACAGAAUAACUUUUAAAUAGAAAUACAGGAGAAACUAUAUUUUGUAAAAACAAUAAGAUAAUUUCCUAUAUAUAUAAUAUAAUGGCAACCCAAAGAAAUUUCUAGUCAACCAAAAGUAUUGGACUGUUUUUAUAUCUAAUUCAUGGUGGCCAAAUGUCUGAUAUCAGAAACUCAGGACCCAAGAAGUGAGAAAAGAUAGGUGUAUUAAGCAAAUGAAGGUGACUGAAUUUAAGCUGCGGGUAUCCUUACUACAAGAAGUGAGUGGAAGGCAGAGAAUGAUGCCAUUCAUCCUUGCAAUAAAAUAAGAUUCAACCACACUUACAGAAAAAUUCUUGUACUCAAAUAACUCAGGGAACUGAGAAUCUGACUGUCCAAUUUCAUUAGCACACAAGCACAAGAUGUGUGUAAUUCCUAAAUGCUGCAGAGUGUACAACGAUCUUGCAGCAAGGGCCCCACCUAUGUACAGGCUGCCUGAAAUUGGAGAUGGUUUUUCUGUGUUUGCAGCAUCUGAUAUCAAUGAUAUCCUCUCAAGAAUGUGUUCAAGCCUGACCUGUAAUUUUGUAAGAGUAUGAAAGUCAUAUCAACCAUUAAUGCAUAAGGUCCUAAUGAGACACAUAAGCAUCACAGGAAACAAACUAAAGUCUUAUGGCUACCAUGAUAGCAAUAAAAAUGAGGAUCCUAAAAUAAUACAAAAUUACCUUCAGCUCAUACGCAUCAACAACACAGUUAGUAUCACUACCCUCAAAGAAUCCUGUAUUAAAAUUGUUCUCCUGGCACAAUUUUAUGGUGUCAUUUCUUAGCAUUUCAUUCCACUGUUCUAAUUCCUUGUUUAAUUCCACAUCGACCUGAAACAGGAAAAGCAAAGAAUCUGUUAUGUAAAAAUAAUAGUGUUCCCAGCCUUAAGGAUUUUCUGAUUCAUACAAAAGCACAAAAAUUUAUCAGAUAUCAGGUAUCACACCCUAAAAUAGAAUCCCCACAGGAAUAUCCACACUUACAUUCUCAUUUGUUAAAACAAUGGAUAAGGAGUUCAGAUACAACAUACUCAUUAGGUUCCAUCAUCAGGUCAUGUUCAAUCAUAGAUGAACAGAGGCAAACAAACAAUAGUCAAUAAUAACAUGGGCAAGAUAGAAGCAUAUCUGUUGAGCAAAAGUUUAGCAAAAAUGAAUGACAAAACUGAUGCAGCCCUAAAAGAAUGAGAUUGACUUUAAUAAGAAAAAAAUAAAAAAUUUGUGCCUAGAUGUGUAAUUAAGUACAAGAACAAGUACCUUAACGAAUAAAUUUCAGUAACUUAAUCCGAUAUUCCAUUGCAAUACGAGGAUUUUCAAGAAUAAUCGAAGUGUUUCUGUGAAAAAAUAUGAACAAGCACAAUACUACACUAAGAUAAUCUGACAAAACAUCAUGGCACAGCAGAGAAGCACUAAAUAUGGCCAUCUGCACUCACUAUGGUAGAAUUCAUCAUGUAUUCUGUUAACAAACUGUUAGACUCUUUAAUGAAAACUUCAAUUUUAUUCGGUAGAUAUCAGACCUUAGCAAAUUUGUGAAAGUCACGGAGCUUUGACGUCAAACGCAGGCUGUGUAUGGGUUCCCCACCCCCUUUGCUGGACUUUCCAUGCCAACCAUCACGUGAGUGUGGAGAGGCAGAAUCUGGGCUAUCUCUACAUCCUGAAGAUUUAGAAGCUGUGCUGUGUGAUUCAUACUCAUUUAGAUCAGAAUUGCUCUCACUUACACUUCGUUCCUUGCUUGAUGGAGAACGCAAAUGAAAGCCAACUCCACCAGCCUGUGAUGGUGAUUGAGGAACCAUAAAAUCUUCUUGGUCCAAAUCCCCAGAAGCUUUAUUUGUGAUAUUAAUGAAUGUUCGCAACAGAGUAUCUAGUUUUUGGUGAAGGGUGAGUAGGAAAAUAUGAAAUCCUUGCAAGUCUCUCAAAGCUGCACGGAACCCACUCCUGAAUGCAUGAAUAACUGAAGUCGUGUCAGUCAAACUUGAACCAGUCAUUGCAUCAGAAUCUUCCUGCGGACAACCAAUCCUCCCAGCACUUAAUUCAUAUAAGAGAUUUGAGGCAUAUUCAGGACUGUUGAUGAGGAGCUCAACCAACUUAGGAUAAUUUUCUUGAUCAUUUGCACGUUUUCCAGCAGGGGGCCUACGAGGAACCCCAGAGUCUAUGGCCACAAUAUGAAAAUGGGGACCAGUUAUUUCAGUUGAUGUUUGAAUUUUGAUACUGACAUUGCUAGAUAUUGGAGAUUCAGUGAUAUCAGAAAUAUCAGAACUCUGCGACACCAGUACUGAACUAGGAGGAGUCAACCUACUAUCCACUGAAGUUGCCCUUCUUUCUUUCUGAAGUGCUCGGAUGACUUUUGGACGAUAUCUAUUAAUUGCAGAAUCAAAUGCGACCUCCAGCGCAUCCAUGUUUGCAGUAGCUAUUUUAUCAGCCAACAAUAAGUUUGCAGAAUUUCCACGCCACCGAAGACUACGACAAGGAAGUCGGUCUUCAUUUCUUAUGACAAGGUCCAACAUCAAAACCCUGCCAAGGGCUGCUGCUAUUUUUUCUGCAGCCUCUCGUGACUCAAAAGCAUUAGAGCUUUCUAACAGAGGAGAACCAUGUAUGUAACUGCAGAUAUUUAAAACAUUAAUGAGGGGAUAAAAAACAAGUGAAUGUGGAAAUCAGAUUUCAUGUUCAUGGAUUUAAAAUGAAAAUGAUUUACCAAAACUUGUGAAUUCUGAUAUAUUUGAUCAUCAUAUAGGUUAACUAGGUAGGCAAGCAUUUGGCCAUUUCAUUAACAGAUAUAUACUUCUCUAAAUGCUACCUAUAUGGUCCUCCAACUAAAACAUUCUCCAGAUCAGGCGCUCACACAUGGUAAUUCAUAUAUCAAAAAGAAAUCCUAAUUUCCUAUUAAAGUAAUAAUUAGAGGAUACAGAUGCACCAGGCAGAGAGAGGAUCAAGAAUGCAUUUCCAUCUUUUGACACUGCUAUCUAUUCUCCAUUUUAACCUUUUGUUCUUUUUCCUGUACAAGCUUCACUGUAAAACACUGCAGUAUUACUCCUAUGCUACACUGAACCUGUAAAUUUUUUGAUUUUCCAUUUACAAUUAAAGAUUGGAUAUGUCUCCAUGGGAGCCUAAGAGCCAAGUUAUCCUUUCCCGUGCAAAUCCAACAAAUGCGUCAACACUUGGGCUGAAAUUGAAUACCUCAUUUAACUUCAGGGGAUGAAAUAUUUUGAUUGAGCAAUGUGCCAAAAGAUUCAUAACUUAGGCUGCAAAAAUACAAUUACUUUCUUCUAUGCCAUACUUUCUUGAUUUGGUAGCCCAUAUCUAUGAGAACACUACUUACACAUAUCUACAAUCCAAAGAAAGCAUGAACUCUCCUUGACUCCACUUUCACUUUCCCUAUUAAGUGGUCCACAAUAGCAGUAUUCUGAAACUAAAUCUUUCAUGUCCAUCUUAGCAAGCACAGACAGGCCACUAAGACUAUAAUAAAAAAGAAAUGAUUGUGCAACUAUCAGACAUGAAAGGAUGAAAAUCUUCCAAGUUAGCAAUUUCAAUGUGUAGAAAUGGGUUAUAAUUUAUGAAACAAAAUGUUGUCAUUUUGUGAGUAUUAAUGUAAUAUAACAAGUCAGGUCCUUCUACAUACUUCAUUAGCAAAAGGCAUCGACUGAGUUCAAGAGCUUCUAGUAGCUCUGAACACAUAAUUUCACCAGCUUCAUCUCCUUCGGAAAUUGCAGCAUCUUUUGCUUUUUCUGCAGCUUCCUUGAUCUGUAGCCACUCAGAACUACAAUGGUGAAUAACUCUGGCCUGCGAUUUUUAAUUUUGCAAAAACAUCAAACUUCUGACAAAGAAACUAGUUACAAAAUAAUUACUCUAGUAAGAAGGUACAACUUGUGGAAUUCGAACACCUAGCCACUUUGCAAAUUCAUAGCCAAGGCGUUCCGAUUGAGUGGCCAUCCUAGAAGAUGCUAUCUUUAUAACAGCUGCAGCCUCUUUGAAAGAAGAUUCAUCAUUUUCAGGUUGGUUGAACAGUGCAAAAAAGACUACUCCCCCAGAAUUUACAGUGACCUACAACAUGAAAACCGAUGAGACAAAAAUAUGAAAAAGGUAAUAGCAUAGACUUCCAUUUGCCACACUGAAGUAGAGCAGGAGGAGAGAAGAUUUAGAAAAGAAACAAACAACACAAGAAAGAAAGGAUUAUCAAGAACACCUAUGUUUUCAUGAAUGCAUGUCUAAAUAGUUUGGUGAAAAUCUAAAAUUUACAUAUCAUCACUAGAAACACCUCUAAGAUAGAAGAAUAUAGAUGAAAGGAAAAUGGUAAAGAGGCACUGCCAGGAAUGCACCAGGUACAUGUCCAGUGCCCUCUACACAUUACCAACGUUUAGUUAGCAUUAAGUAAGAGAACCAAAAUUUUGCAGAAGGUUUUCCAGCACAAUUUUCUUGUGCAGAUGUAGUUUUCAGUAAGAGAAAAGAAAGGGAAAUUUGACCAACUACUGGGAAAUUAGAAGCGUAAUUGAGGAGAGAGACUUGGGCAGAGAAAGUACUUGUACAAUUCAUGACCACUACAUACACAAUCAGAGACUACAAGAAAUUAGAAGGGUGAUCAUUACAUACCUUUGCAGCUUCUUUUUCUUCUACUAGGGAAGUACAAUAAACAAACAUUGUGCCCUCCAGUCCCCCUUAUUCGCCACUAAAAAAUAUCAACUGCCUUGUGUAUGAGCCUAUAGUCUGGGGAAGGGAGUGGAGGGUGUGUUCGAUUUGGAAGCUUUAGACAAGACAUAGGAACAUUAAGUCUGAAUAUCUCCAAUCAGUUUGUUUGGAUAGUAAACUUAUUCCAAAUAAUAUUUUGCUUGCAUCAUAAACACAUUUUCCAACCCACCUUUUUAUCUCACAUACAUCACAUUACAAAAAAUGUUACAGUAAUUAUUUCAAAUAAUAUUUCAAAUAAUACUCUAUCCAAACAAACCCUUAUCUCAGGCAACUGUUUAUGUUACUAUUCAUACAAGUUCAAGUACUUAGACAACACCACCUCUGUGCAUUGCUUCAAUGAGAAAUAAAAGACGGUAGAUGAUAUUUUGAUCCAGAAAAGGAAUCACAACCAAAACAAUACAACUCCUGAUUUGGAAGUUAUUCCAACUGGAGUCAAAUUCCUGCUAAAACUUUGAAAAAAGAAGUACUGUAUUUGAACUAAUGCUUAACUUUUGCUCACCUCUACUGCUUUAUUCAUUUCAUCCUCCGAUUGUUCAGCAGUACCACUACUAUGUUCAGUGUGAUGAAGUGAAGAAAGCAUGUUCCACGAAAAAGAGCUUGAUUCAAUAUCCAACAUGGCAGCCUUGCCAAGUCUUUCCCACAAACUUACUUCGGUAGCUUGCUCAGGAGGAGAACUUCUAACACCAGACUUUGACUCUUCCGAGCUGAAUCAAGAUUAGAUAUAACAUAUAAGACAUCGGCUACAAAUUUCUAAUACCGGACACUCAACAUUAAACACAUUAAAAGCAGAAUACAGGAGAAACUGGCGCACUGAUGCAUUCUAGAACAAAUUCAGUAAUCAUCACUCAUACAUAUUAGCACCAACUUGUUGCAUAAGGCCAAACAAUACAAUCUAAGAAAUCAAGACAGGAUUCCAAAGUUCAUUGAAGAGCAGUGGAUAUCAAAUAUCAACCUCAAGGGCAUAAUAGCUGCUCUGUGCUGUCUGUGUGGGAACCCUGAGGACCGGUACUUCCCGCUCCGCUUGCGAACAAGCUCAAGCCAUUGCGCAAACCGGUAUGCUGGCCCCGCUGUGAUGUCCCCCAGCAUAUACAAGACCUGCAAAUCUAGCACCAGCCUCACUAGAAACUCACCAAACAACUCGAAUUUCUCGCAAUAAUCAAUAAAUAUUAGCGAAAAUAAUUCAACAACUGACCCGAGAAGUGACAGUGAGGGGCAAAGGGGCCUCGGGCUCCUCAGAUUCCAGAUCAAGUUGCUUAUCUUCUUCUUGCUUCUGCAUAUAUCCUUGUAUAUACGAAUGUGAGUAGUGGGUUUUAUAACUCUAUAUCUAUAAGAUACAAGCAAAACCCAGAUCUAAUUCAUCCUACCAUAAAAUUUUGACCAGCACAUACUACUACUAAAUUCCACAAUGUAAUGAUACAAUCACUUUCUGUGCACGUUACUACUCAUAUUUAUAUCCAUUCUAAUGAAAGAGAAAGAAAGCGGGGGGUAAUGAUUUAAAACUACUAAAAAGGUUUCUACUUUUUCUGUCGUAGGGGAGAGAGCGGAACACUUUACCUGAAAAUGGUGAAGGUUUUCUAUCUUCUCGCUGUCCAUUUCUUUUUCUUGGACAAUGAUAAGUCUUGCUGGCCCUUUUUUCCCUUUGGUGGGGGACUUUUGGAAACGACCAGAUCUCGUCUCCCUUUGUUGCCACUUUUCCCGCUUUUUUCUGGGGCUGGUUGACACUGAAGCAUUUUUAUAGCGAGAAAAUGAAGAGCAGAAAAGGAAGGGGUAGCGGUUUCUUGGGAGUCGAAGAUUGAAUCAUUGAAGUGAAAAAAGUGGAACCGCGGAAGUGAGAAAUGGAAAGGCUCUCGCUAGUAGCAGGUGAGGAGUGAGGACGCGACCCCUCUCCGCUACAGUGAGUUGGUUUGGAUGCUCUUAAAAGCGUGAGAAAUGAAAAGAAAGCAAAGAAAAUGGCAGGAUUCUAUCUCUCCCUCUCUCUCUAAUACUAGCUUAGCUAGUUUGGGAGUUUAGGUUAAAAAAGAAAAGGAGAAAACCUACGAAAGAAAAGUAAAGAAGAGAAAAGAAAAAGAAGAUAGGAGAAAGGACGAGGUUUGAUUUUAAUAUUGUUCGAAAGUUCAGGAAAAAAAUAAAAUAGGAUAUAUGUAUGUCAAUGAAAUUUUAUGUUUAAUAGGUAUUUAUUGAUAGAAGUGACAUUUUAAAAAUUGUUGUAGAGUGUCUCUUAACUUUCCAUCCCUCACCACUCAUAUUUGGGCAGGAAAAAUUUUUUAAAUGUAGCUGCUAAUUUGAUCCAUCUAAUUUCUUUUCAUUUCUUAGCUUCUCUGUCGCUCCAAAACUCACAAACAUCAGAAAAUAGCUACUUUCCCUCACCUUCGCUUCUUUUCCUGUCAAAUCUAGGCCAAACCAAGUAUAAAAGCUAAGGUGGGAUGAAAAGGAGAAGGAAGGAAAAGUCAAAAACUCAUACUGUAACCAAUUAUCAUACUACCGGGUAUGUCCUUCAAACAAAAUUCAAAAAGAUAAAAUGAAUGAGCACUAUAAUAAAAGAUUGAAUCAUUGAACUGGAAAAAAAAAAUGGCACUAUGGAUUGAGGAAAGGGAAACCACAUAAACAAUCCCUCACAUAUUAUAUGUAUUUAUCUCUUGUUAAUUUCUCAUUUUAAAAAUGAAGAAAAUUUGUCUCUCACAUGUGCAAAAUAUCUUUGUACAUCCUGACGGUACAGAAUUGAUUCAAUUUUAAACUAGUUGAUGGCAUGCCGAAAUAGGUCAGAGUUUGAGAAAACUGAACUGCUACUCUGGUGUGCAGGUUAAGAGAUUUGAUCCCUUGAUCUACACUCAAAAAGUGUUUUAAACCUCUCCCAGGUGGCCAACUAUUCUAGAAAUAGUUGAUUAGCAUAGUUAUUAGUUGUGAGAAAGUAUCCACUCUUUUUUAAGUCAUAUUGGAGAAAGCCCAUUCAGUUGGACGAAAUACAUUUUACUUCUAAUGAACUUUCAAUUGUAUGAUUUACAUUAUCUAAAAAAUACAUGUUUCCACUGUUUUAAAUUUAAGUCGUGUACCUUAAGAGGGGGUUUCUGAUAGGUCUAAGAUGUGCACUAUAGUGGCAGAAAAGAGAUUUUUAAUGACUCUUUAUGUUCUAUAAAGAUAGUGCUUAGUUGAGAGGCCAUUUUAUAAUUUUUGAAUUGCAUUAAGGCAAAGUAUGACGAAAAUCUUGGUCUGUUCUGAAGGACUGAAAAUAAUACUUCUGUCAUUGCUAUUUUAUGUUAUGAAGAUUGGAAUGCUUUAGAUAGUUUAUGGAACUGAUGCUAAUCACAUCAUUCUAAUCUGAUACAAUUUCUGUAAAAGCAAAUUAACAAUGGUGCACAUUUGCUUUUCUUAUGACUAGUGAAGGAUUUAUUUGCAUUUAACGCACGCAAUACUAGCAGGUUAAUAUGCUUUAAUCUUAGGUUACGAAAAACCUUUCCUUUGUUCUUGUAUUGAGUUUUCUAGGCCCCCAUCUCUCUGUGUUUGGAGUGUAAACUAGUUGUUCUUCAAAUUUCUGGUUGUCCAUUAUCGGCCAGCUUCACUUGGAAUUUGGCUGCUGUCCGGUUGACGGUUGAUCUUCUCUAAAUACUACUACUUCUCUCUGCAGAGUGUAGACUCAGAGGAUGAAAUAUCUUGGACGCCAUGGCAGCAGGUUGUCUACAUUUCUCCAGGCCAAUUGCUUUAGCCAUUACGAGCUAGAUGCUAUUUAUGCAUCAUGUUGGAUGAUUUAAGAUCGGGUUUGCCGUUAGUCAAGUUUGUUUCCACGAUUUACUGCAUUUGUACAUAACGCAUGCAUCCUGGUUCAUAUUAUUGUAAUUAGCCACCAUAGAUAUAUAGUUUUUACGUGGGGCUUUUCAUCUGACCAUGCCUCUGCAGUGUUCCAGUCAUGGAUAAUAUUUCAGUUCAGUCAGGUUCUCCAUCCUCUUUUGCCUCCAUGUCGAUUAAUAAACUUCUUCACAGUGGGGUUGAAUCAUGCUGGUUAACUGCUGGAAAGGCAGCCCAAGAAUGGACUCGGGGCACGGACGGUUGCAGGUGCAACCGUCCCUGCCAAUUUUAGUCAUUAUCAACUGCGCGUAACUUUCUUUGUACAUCGUGUAACUUUUUUUUCACAUGAUGUAUUUUCACAACAGAUAGUGGUAGGCCCCACACUUGGCGCGGAAAUCGAGUUACAUGGUGUAAUCUCAGUCGCACAAAAUUUUGAGGGCCAAUCUUGACCCUUAACUGUGCAGGGACGGUCAUACUCCCUGCCCCAAAUCCGCCCAAGAAUACAUUAUCUGUCGUACAACCAACUGUACUUUCUAAUGACAAAAGGUUGGCAAUUGUCAGCUGUAUCUGGAAAAACUAAUAAGAGACAUUAUUAUUGGAGAUGACCUUCAUUUUUCUCUGAUUUUUUUCCCUCUUCUCUUCUUCCAUUCUUUAGGCUUAUUGCUGAUUUGCUGCUGAUAUAUGAUUGAGGUAUUUGCUCUAACAUUUUUCUUUUCACUAUGAGACUUAGCUAUCUUUCAACUAAACGUAACUAUUAUACCUCUGAAAUCUUCUAAUAGAUACUCCACAAUUCUCCAUUUUCUCUUCUUUAUUCUAAGUUUAGCAGUGCAAAUGGCUUGUGAAAGGAUUAUAUAUAUGCAAUGACUAAUAUCUCUAUUAUACUGCCAUUAUGUACAAUCUAUUAGCAUUUUGUUUCAAACUUAUUUAUGCCAGUCAAAAGAAAUUUUGCAUGACAUUGUUGUCUUAACUUGAGUUGUGCUGCUUUAUCCGCUUUGAAAGUAUUCUACUGAAAGAACUUAGAUAUAUUUUUCCACCGUGCAAGCACGGUGCUGUUCCACUAUCUAAAAAAAAUGUGUUUUGAUGGAUGAGGAGGUCAUUUACAUUGUGCACCUGUUCGCAGGUUAUCAUUUGAUAACAUAUCUACCUGAUGCAAAUAUUGAUCUGACAGUGCCCCACUUCCCUUCUCAAACAGAUGCGGAAUAUUUGGCUAGCUCUCUGUUUGCAGUGUCCUUGAAGAGCAGAUCUGUGAUGGGUCUCAAAUAAUGGACCUUCAAUUGGUUAAAGCAUAGUAAUGUUUCACUUGUUUCAGCUGUUGCUCAGAUUCCUGUACGUGCAACAUACAUAAGCACACCUAUUUCGUCAUUUGCACACCUUUUAGAAGCUUCAAGGGUUUGCUUUAGCUCACAGUUCCAUAUUCAAGAAGAAGAAGAAGGAAAAAAGUAUUCAUGCUGCUAUGUGCACUGUAUAUUGAACAGGCCGGCCUCUAACUUUCUGGGGCCUUUGCGCAGAGUUUGCACUUUAUUUAGCUUUGAUGAAGUUUGGGGUAAGCAGGAGCAGGGGUCUCACCUUUUUUGUGUCAUAUGGUAAUUCAUUUCCAUUUCAGAUUUGAGUUUCCUUGGGUUCAAUCAAAUCCACCAUGGUCAGAUUUUCUGUCAAUUGUUCUUUUGAUUGCUUACCUAUUGUGUUUGUUGAUUGGUGUUAUCUGUUUUGUUUUGCGUUAUUUAGUAAUUGACAUCAGGACUGCAGAAAAAAUUUUGUUAACUAAAGCUGUUACAAGAGGUAAGCUGUCACGAUUGGAAGACAAUUGAGAGGAUUUUUCUGAAGCCUUGUAGGUCAAUGUGGUUGGUGACUCUGAGCUUGAAAUAGUUGCUAUUGCUUCCGAGAAGGAGCUUAUGGGUGCAAAAUGCUCGUAUACAUCACAUCACAAAAAGCGUUUCAGUCAUUAUUUCAAAUAAUUCUCUAUCUAAACAAAAUUUUCAUCUAGAUAAUAGCAGCAUUAACAUAUAGUUAAUUGUUAUGAUACUAGGAAAGUCCACGUGCAACGCACGUGUAAUCUUGAAAAAAAAAAAACUUCUCUUUUUAAUUAUGUACCACUUAUUUGGUUAUUUUACCUUGCAAAUUUAUAUGUUAAGAAUUGUUACAUAAAAAAGUUCGUCAAUGCAUAGAAUUAUUAUUCAAAUACAACCUUAAAUGUGACAGAGAUAAAUAAAAAUAUAUUUUAUUUAAACAGAUACGACACUUAUAAAGAUAAAAUUCAAUGGUUCUUCAAAUAUGAACUAUCAUCUUAAUUAUAACCUUACAAAACUAAAUAGUUCAUUCUUACUAUCUAAUUCUUUUGCUGCAUUCAGCUUCACAUUGAUAUAUAAUCCCUUUGCCUUUUGACUAAAAACUUAUUUUGCCACAUUCCCAAGCAUUACGAUGUAACCUCAAAAACUGAUUUAGUUGUUCUUUGUGUAAAACCUUAAAAGUUUUAACUAAUGAGUUGAGACUUAGCAAAUAAAAAGAACUUCUCAGUUGAGACUUAGAAAUUUUGAAAGGUAUUAAAGCAUAUAUUUUAUUUUUUUUUUUGUAAAUAAAGCAUAUGAUGUUUAUUUCUUCAAUGCUAUAAAAGAGACAUGAAAAUAUCAGGAGAAAAAUGAUCAUUUAGUGGAAAGAGUAUUUCAAAGUAAUGGAUUUAAAUAUGUUAACUAUCCAAUGUCAUGAAAUCAUUUAUUUUUCCCCCUGCCAUAAUUGAGUGGUUAAUCAUACUUAAUUAUUACCAUAAAAAAAACUAAUAAAAAUGAUCCAUGGAUUAAAAUUUUUGUUGAAAGGAUUUUCACAUGUACAUUUGAAUUAGUGAGUUUCAUACACAACUGGUGCUACUAUAUACAACUGUGUGAUACUAUGACAUCAACGAAGAAACUCCUAAUAUUUUAUGUUCUGCUAAAUUCCACCACCAAGUGUCUGUGUCCCUGUCCCCCCUAUACUUCAUUUAUAGAAUAUUUUCUUCUUUCUCUUUAUAGAAUAUCUAAUCACAUGAUUGAGUUUAAGAAAGAUAUGCGCAUGUAUGAACCAAAUCAAGGUUCUCGACAGAACCUUGAUUUACCAUGCACUGGUACCGGUUACCGAUUCUGUUUUCCUCUCUUCAUUGUUUACCAUGUAGUAAAUCUUAAGGCACCUUUUAAGUUCAGCCAAGAGUUCAAAAAAAAAAAAAAAAAAAGGAGAGAGAAAUUAAGAUUAGUGACAAUUUGUUGCUUGAUAUUUUGUAUUUUAAUUUUCACAUUUUCUUGGCUUUCUUUGGUGAUUGAUUGUAGACUUUUUCCUUUUGUUGAGAGAAACAUGAGUGUUUUCCAUACUAGUUUCUGUUAAGUUGAAAAGCAUCAAAAUCUAUUAUUUCAUGAUGACAACUUCUUGAUUAGUUGCAAAAUCACUGAAAUGGAUCUUAGAAGUUGCAAUAUAGAUAAUAUAUAUAUUAAUAUGCAAAUUUACUGAAAAAAUGAUUUGAAAAUCGUCCGUUUGGAUUAGCUGUUUUUUGGGUUAUUUUUUAAAAACAACACUGUACCAUUUCGUUUUUGAAAUAUAAGUCCGUUUGGAUUAGUUGUUUUUUGAGUUGUUUUUCAAAAACUAUAUGAAAAACUUUUACUGUACAUAUUUUUUGGAUUAUUUUUAUAUGUAUUUUUAAAACAUAUUUUUGAGUAUUUUUAUAAUUUAUAAUUUUUAUAUUUUUAUAUUUAUAUACAUUUAUGCAUUUAUAAUACAUUUAUAAAUAAAUAUAUUUAUAUAUUUAUAUAUAAAUAUAUAAAUGUAUUAUAAAUGUAUUAUAUUAUAUAUAAUACAUAAUAUAAAUAUAUUUAUAAAUGUAUAAAUGUAUAAAUUAUAAAUGAAUAUUACAUAAAUGUAUAAAUUAUAAAUUUUAUAUUUUUAUAUAAAUAUGCAUUUAUGCAUUUAUAAUACAUUUAUAAAUAUUUAUAAAUAAAUAUAUUUAUAUAAAAAUAUAUAAAUGUAUUAUAUUAUAUAUAUUACAUAAUAUAAAUAUAUUUAUAAAUGUAUAAGUGUAUAUUAUUAUAAAUGUAUAAAUUAAUAUUAUAUAAAUAUAUAAAUUAAUAUAUUAGAAAUAUAUAUUAAUAUUAUGUAUAAAUCUAUUAAUAUAAUUAAUAUAGAAGUAUAACUGUAUUAAAAUUAUGUAGAAAUGUAAAAUUAAUUUUAUGUAUAUUAAUAUAAAUGUAUUAUAAAUGUAUUAUAUUAUCUAUAAUACAUAAUAUAAAUGUAUAUUGUAAAUAUAAAUAAAUAUAUAUAUUAUGUAUAAAUGUACAUUUAUAUAAAUGUAUAAUAUAUAUAAUAUAUAAUAUAUAUUAUACUAUAUAUAAUUUAUAUAACAUAUAAUAUUUAUAUAAAUAUAUUAUAAAUAUAUAAAAAUAUAUUUUAGAUAAAAUAAAAUAUUUAUAAUAUGAAUAAAUAAAUAUAUAAUAUACAUUAAUAUUAAUUAUUAAUAUUAUAAUAUUAUAAAUAUGGUGUUUAUAUAAUAUUUCAAUUUGUAAUAUUUAUUGUAUAUUUCAUUAUAUAAAUAUUUAUAUAAUAUAUAAUAUAUAAAUAUAUAAUAUAAAAUUUUCAAUUUGUAUAAUAUACAUAAUAUUGUAUAUAUAUAGUAUAAUAUACAUAAUAUAAUAUAUUAUACAUAAUAUACAUUUAUACAAAAUUAAUAUUAUGUAUAUUAUAUAUUAUACAUAACAUUAUUAUACAUUAUUAUACACAAUAAGAAAUUACAUUCAUAAUGUAUAUAUUAUAAUAUAAUGUACAUAUUAUAUUAUGUAUAAAUAUUUAUACAUUUAUGUAUACAAUAUUACAUAUUAUGUAUAUUAUAUUAUAUUAUGUAUAAUAUUAAUCUAUAUAAUAUUUAUAUAAUAUAUAAUAUAUAAAUAUAUAAUAUAUAAAUAUAUAAUUUUCAAUUUGUAUAUUUCAAUUUAUAUUAAUAUAAUAUAUAUACAUAUAAUAUACAUAAUUGAAAUAUACAUAUUAAAUAUGUAUAUUUGGAGUUGUUUUUGAUAUAAUGUUUGGAUUGGAAUUGUUUUUGAAAUACAUAUUUAGCAUUUGGAAUGUGAAAAACAGUUUUUCAAAAACAGAAGCAAAAACAAGGAAUCCAAACGGACCCUAGUUUUGAAGUAAAACCCGGGCAUGAUAAUGCAGAUGGUUCCUUGCCACAUAAAAUGAUAUAGCUCAAAUGGUGCUACAUUAAUCUCCUUGCUUUUCCUCUAUGGAAACCCGUUGCAAAACUGGUGUUUCUGUUCAUUUGGUCAGAUGUUCAAAUCUUCUUUGCUAAACACAAAUAAGUUCUCCUUGUUUCGCAGACAAAUUCUCCCUGCUUCGCGUCUCCUGCUGUAUAUAUUGAAAGAUUGCAGUAACAACAUCUCAUUAUUCUCCUAUUGGGCUUUCUAGCACUUGAAGAUGAUUUCCUUUGAGAGUUAAAGUUAACACAAUAAAAACUCAGAAUCGUUAGUUUCUUUUCCUUCUGAUCUUCUUGGAGUCUAAGAAUGCUAGCUGUGAGGUCUUUUAUCCUUUCUCGCUUCAUUACCACAUAAGUUCCAAAUAACGCCCGAUGCAAGUUCAGGCAGCCUGCUUUGAUUAUAUAUAGGAGAUGAUUAUCCGCUUUGAUUAUAGGAGAUGAUUAUGUCCUCACAUAGUAUACACUUCCCAUAUAUAGUUUCGGCACCACCAUUCCAUGCAAAUUAAGAAGGAAACGUUUUUGUGGAGCCUUCCUUGACUGGAUGGAUAGGUUCAAAGAAAAUCUUUUUGAGUUUUGGUUUAUUGCACCUGUGGGAAAAAGAAAAAAAUGCAGAGAAAAUGAUAUUGGCAAUCGUUUGAUGCUGCCAUGCCAACACAUACGACUAUAUUCACGUUUAAUUCUAAACAAGUUUCAAUCUGGAAUAUUCUUCAAAUUUGUUCGCCAUUCGGUUAGCUUCUGCAACGAUUUGUGGGCGACAAAGUUUGCCGCUGAAAGGGCUGUGAACCUUAAGAACCAGCUCACACUUCUCCCAUUCCUUCCUGAUAGCAGUAUCGAAAGCGAACGACUGAAAAUCUGUUGAAACAUAUAAUUUUUUCUCAUAAAACGAAAUGAGUGUAGGUCUCCAGGCGACCCAAAAUCCAUUGCCGAUCGGAAUCCUGUCUCGCACUUUGUAGGAAAGGAGGGUCGACAAGACGACUCCCAAGUGCAAUUACAAAGAUCGUAAACCUCAAAGAAGGGCUCGUCGACGGACACAGAAAGGAGUUUAUCUUCCACAAAGAUGAACCUCUCACCAAAAUUCACAUACUUUGCUGCUUUGUUGAAGUACCUAACGGGCUUGAGGCGCAGCAAUUCAUCGUCAUGCUCUGCUUCAGAUGAAGUAACAUAAACAUUCUUUGGUGGAAAAGUAGUAGAUGGCACUAAGCAUGCGUAGAGAUGCUUCGUCAUGACAAAAUCUUCAUUACAAUUCCCAGUUCAUGGAUGCAUGAUUUUCUUGUAACACACCUUUUGAUUUAUCCUUCUACAGUUGUACACACUAUUGAUUCAUUUGCCUGGGUGGUUAGCAAUAGUAUACACGUAGUUGCUUAUGAAUUCCCCCCCCCCCCCCCCGACCAGGGUUUAAUGCGCUUGGGCUUCAGGGUUUGGGCCUUUUGUUUUUACCUUGUACCGAGGUUUGAGUCGGUUUUUCGUGAAGAUUUCCACGCCACGCUCCCAAGGAAGGAAUCCGAAUCAGAGUAUUUUUGGUGUUAAUAGGAAAAUUCAUUACUACUUCUUAUACACUUAAAAAAAUCUCGUUUACUCUUUUUUCAUAGACCUAACUAGAUCAUAGACCUAACUAGAUCAACGAGAUGUUUUGACACCAUUCUUGAUUUUUUUUUGUUGCAGGUGAGAUUUGAACCCCUACCUACAGCCUAAAUUGGUUCAUAGACCUAACUAGAUCAACGAGAUGUUUUGACACCAUUCUUGAUUUUUUUUGUUGCAGGUGAGAUUUGAACCCCUACCUACAGCCUAAAUUGGUGGCCACUGUACCAAGUUCAGUGGUUCAAAAAAGUUCAGUGGUUCAAAAAAAAUCGUUUACUCGUUUGGUUAAAAUUCAUCAAUCACUAUUAUUAUUAUCACUAUCAUUGACUAGUUAAUAGUUAUAAUUUGUUUGUUAAAACUCAUAGGCACCGUUUGGACCCCAUCUCAUUUAAAAUGGUUAACCAAAGUUGUUAGUAAUAAUUCACCAAAUCCAUUAGGCUCAUACACCAAAUCCAUUUCCUUUCCAAAUUUUGCAUAUGGAGAGACAGGCAGUGGAGAGGCAGAAUUGCCUGCAGAAGAACCAACCUAAACGGUGAUGAAGUAAAUAAUUCCGCCUUUGGAAGGAGGGAGUUGUAAGCCCGAAAUUCCUUCCACCGCAACCAACUGCUAUAUUUCACCUUUCUCUGGUUUCAAACCCACAAACAAAAUUUCCUUUUCCUUUUCCUUUUACAGUUGAAGCACACAAAACAUUAUUAAUUACAAUCCUUUCCACCCUAUUUACUUACUAGUGACAAAUGCAGCAGCUCUUUAGAACACUUCUGGUAGAGGCCUGCCUUCCAGGAAUGACUUGAAUAGCACGAGCGAUCUCUCUGGCUGUGAGAAUGGAGCUUCAUGAGAAGCACCUCUAAUUGUUGCAAAUGAGAGCAAAUUUCCAUAAACUUGAGUCCAUCCACCAACCUGCGCGCGGUAGGAGAAGGCCAUGUAACCAAAUGUCGAUUAGGAAUUUGCAUGCAGAAACGGUCUGCAAUGACCAUGAUAAAGUUUGUGUUAUUCACUUAUACCUGCUGCCCUGCAAACCAAACUCGAUAAGGUGUGGUUGCAUUCAGUCUUAACUGUUUUGCCAAUCCAUGGACUAGGCUGCGGCUUCCAGUUAGUGGGAUUACAGAAUCCUGAUCGCCACUGUUUGCAAAAUUUCGUUUGAGAAUGCUAUUAUAGGACAUUCUGUUCUUAACCAACAGAUGACAGAAAGUAAAACCAUGAAACUUUAUGCAAAACGUUUUUGAGAUCAUACGAAUAAAGAAGCGUUGAAUUUACCUGUACACCAAUACUGUAAUUCCUUCCUUGAUAAGUGAUCCUACAAUUGAGAUUGUAGGUAUCUCUAUGUCAAGCAGCUGAUAAUCCAGAAUGCUGUGGCAGAAAGAGAAAUUUCAAUUUGUAGUAAAGGUAAGAAUGAGAAUCACUAUGUUGGUAGGCUGAUUUCUUGUUACGAUGGUUGCAAGUUGAGAUCAAUUCUGCGUCUAUCAUUUUAUUACUUUUUUUUGUUUCUAUGGCAACUACUAAAAUCUCUUCCCGUGCUAAUGGUACAUAAUCUUUGAAAUGCUAUUAAGAAGUGAAGGAAUUACUCGCUGCAAACAAGCCAUCUCCGCACUCCUACAAGCCUGGCAUGAAGCGCCUUCUGCACAUCUUGGCGGUUCAAGUAAUUGACAGUUUCAUCUUCUAUACAAACAUCUAUCCUCUCUGCGUUUUGCUGGUCAAUAGUACAAAACCAUUGUUAAGACCCGGGAGACAUAUCUGAGAAUCUUAACAAUCUGGAUAACAGAAUAAAGCUGAGAUAAUAACAUCUGAUCUGAAGGGCAACAACAAAAACGUACUUGUGGACUAAUGAUCCUGGACUGGGAGAGCACUGAAGAAAUACAGACAUCAAGUGUAACAUCAUAUUUGUCCACAAACCUACUGGUUUCUCUACUAACUUGGCUCAUGACCUUCGAGCAAAUAGGAGAAACAGCAUCUCUGUAGUAUUCACUCACAUAUCGAGAAUAGUUACAGAAGGAAGUGAAUAAUUUGUAAGUUGAAUCUGAUAUCAGUCCAUGUGACCAGAAGUACUCAGCUCUUGAGUUCAAGUCUGUGGCAUAUUCAAGAACUGGAUUACCUAGCUGCAACAAAAAUAAAGAAGAAAAGAAAGAGAAUUAUCAGUCUUCAGCAAAAGCAGCAAGAGAAAAGGGAAUUCUCUUUUGAUGUUUACUUCGCUCUCUCACUUUUCAACUUUAUGGCUCCUUAACCUGUUAGAAAAAGUGGAAUUCUGUUUCUUCUUGGGACCGUGGAAGAAAGAUCAUGAGUUUCUUCUUGUUAUUUUGGCUGAUCAAUCAUUCUGUUAUCAAUCCAGCAUAAUUCAGGAGACUUCUAUAACUUUUAUUUGGCAUUACUAUAUUAAUUAACUCUUACAGCAAUUCCUUUCAAGUUGAACAGCUUUUCCUUUUUGUUGAAUUGAAUCAUGAGCUCCGCAAGUUGAGGUACAUAGUGACCUGGUGGCAUCAACCCAAAAAGUUUCAAAAAUAAAAGAAAUAACCACCUUUAGGCAUUCUAAGAAAAAAAGAACAUGGCAACUUUAGGAAGAUACCUGCAUAACUUUCUCCAGUUAUAAACAAAUUUCUGUCCCUAUACUGUGGGAAUUGGAGGAACCAACGCUGCAAGAACACGAGAUUGUCCCUAGCUGAAGAAAAUCAUGAUAAAUCCAACUUUAGAAGUAAGACAAGUAUCCAAUUUAGCUUCAGAAAGACCGAUUUUACAAACGAUUGUCUGAACUGCUAAUAUAAUAGCAUCGGAUGACAAAUAUUUAUAAACUAAAAAGCAAGUCUUUUUCGUAAAAGUUCACAAUCUUUCUUAAAAAGAAUAUUCCACAGCCCCAGAACUUAUGUUUCCUGAAUCACACGUCCAGUCCAAUUUUAGAUGAUUGAUAGAUUUAUAAGCAGAAAAUCAUGAUUGCUGAAGAGAAGAGACGUACCUGUUAUAGCAUCACUCACAGCAUCGUAAGAGGAGGAAUCAUCCGCAAAAGAGAACCCCACCCCAACUGGUGUCUCCAAAUAUAGCACAUUUGCCUCUGCAAUAUCAUAUCCAACCAAUUAUCAUUUCUUUGCUUUUUUUUUUCUAUGGAAUUACUUGCAAAAUUCGAACUUUAUCAAAAAAAUAAGAUGUUUAUGAUGCUUUUCAUGGUUGUAAUUCUCACCUCUAUUCCAGCUAUGCUCAUUCCUUACCAGACCCUGUCCAUUGGGUCUAAAAGGUCCAUUUUCAGAAAAUGCACCGACGCCAAGAGAAGAGCAACCAGGUCCUACAAGAAAGCAAGCACUAUUAAGCAAAAUCUGGCCAAGUAAUCUUGAGGGCAGUUGAAUAUGGAGGAAGAAGAACUGUUGCAGACCUCCAUUCAACCACAGGACCAGAGGUUUUGAAGCACAAUCUAUUUCCGCCUCGACAAAGUAGUAAAAGAGAGCUUUUCCUUUCUUGUCAUCAACAGUAACAUAACCAGAGAACUGUUGGAAUCCCACUUGUGGUUGUCCAGGUAGCUGAGUAAUCAUGUCAGGAUGAGGCAUUGGAGAAGAUUUAACCGCUAGAAAACAACAUAGAAGAAGCAACAAGAUGGCCAUUUCCUCGACUGUUGAAGCUUCUGAUUUCAUGAUCUCAAGAAUGUAACGAUCAACCACACUCUAGUCAGCACUUAUAGACCCAGUGAAAUAGCGGAAUGAGUGAUAAAUAGUAGUAUUGCAAGCUAGUGGAGAGCAUGGAGUCAUGGCCUGCUCACGAGGCAGACUAAACAAAUAGCAUGCCUUUCUCAAAAAAAAAAGAAAAGAAAAGAAAAUAGCAUGCCUUGGUGAUUUCUAGUUCUUUAUCACCAUAAUCUUUGUUUAUGAGCAGGCCUGAACUAACACACUAAUGAUCAGAAAGUGGUACUAAAAAGAAAGGCACUAAAAUGAGUAGACGAGAAGUUAUUCCAUUCAAGUCUCAAGAGUCCGGGCUUGACUUGCUUACAUGGGCUCAUUCGUCGGCAAAAAGGACUGGGUGUUUUAAAAAGUGAAAAAUGAAAAGUAUCCUCAGGUGCUUUCAAAAUUCAAAAUUAUUUAUUUUCUCACAAACAGCAGAUUUAUUGCUUUAAUUUGUUUGUUUAUUUUAGUUUUGCCUUCCCAAAAAUGAUGAAUGCAAAGUGAAAAAUAGUUUUUUUACCGUGUCAUGCUUUUAAGCUCAAGCCUUGACAAGGUAAGGGAUGUUCCACAGAAAGUGGCUUUACAGUAGUACUGCUUUCACUACUGUGUCUCAGAAAAUGUGGGACACUGACCACUAUCAUAAUGUCUCCUAAGAACAUCUCUGAAACUUCAUUUUCAAUGCACAAUAUGAUAGGUAUUGUAAGAAUUUCUUUAGUAUUUUGUUUGGUUUUGUCAUGCAGAAUCAUAUGAGCACUGCCAAGAACAUGAUGCAGAGUAUCUUCGUGGAUUUCCUGAAUUGCUUGUUUGGUUGGAUUCGGUUGAUUUACAAGUACUACAAGAAAUUUUUUUUUUAAAAAAAAAAUUGAUUUUCCUGGUUUGCUGGGAGAUUUUCGUAAUGUCUGCAGUUUGAAAGAAAACCACAGCUGAAGCAGAUGUUGACUCUGGGCUUGUCCAUGAAUUUCUUCAAAAUCUGCAAUUUCAUUUCCUUCAAAAUCAUCUUUACAUUCUUGAGACUUCCAAGAGUAUCAUCUGACUCAACCAAAAACAAACAUCUCAUACAGCAAUUUUCCAACAAUACCUUGAUUUAUUUAUUAAUUAUUAUUGUAGUAAUAUGAAUGAGAACACAAGGUCUAGAGCCUUGAGGGCUGCUUUUGAAGAAAGGAAGGAAAAAAAAAAAAAAGAGCCUUGAGAGCUGCUUGUCUCUGACCUCUGUGAAUAAAGUGUUGUCUUGUAAUGAUGAGCUAUCCACUAGCAUAGGUCCAUCAUAGCUUGCAAAAUAGGGGUCCCCCCACCAACCUUCUGAAGAACAAAAACUACUACCAGUAAGUAGAAGGUGCCCUCUGGCCUUUACCAGAGAGAGGUUGCAUAUACUCGAAAUCUUCUCUGUUUCCCACUACCCUCCUAUAUAACUGCCAAAGACAGACAGACAGAUAAUUUGUACCAGCAAAAAAACACACAUAUUUCCAAUUAUUAUUGCAGCUAGCCUCCCACUUGACCUGCAACAAUCAUGCAGGCAUUGGCCAAUUCUCCUCCUGCGCCUGAAGGAAUAAAUUAUCAGACCUCGAGACUAAUUUAUGACUGGCCACCCCUGCAAGGGUCCAGGUAAAAUAAUAUUUGUCUUCAAUUGUUUAUCUUUACUCAUGGGGUGGCUGGCUGGGCUCCGUAACAUGCAAUGGAUUAAGCCUGUCGUCCCCAGUUAGGCGCAUAGGGGCGCACAAAAAACACUCAAAUCAAGGUAAUUUUGUCGCAGAAGUGUUCUGCUGAUAUGGAGGAUGGCAUCAUUAGUGUAGGAUUUAUGAGUUGUUCAAGCUUACGUUAAUGCAACUUUAGCUGAAAGCAAUAAUUGUAAUGCUCUACAGGAGAAACUUGUAUUUUACACAAAGGAAGGAACCUUGUAAUGUUUGGAUUUUAUCUGUCUUUCUAUGAUAAUUUUCAUUCUAACAAAAGGGAAUAACAUGAAAAAUUUUACGCACGUCCAAAAUUUAGCAAAAGGAAUGAAACAAAAUAUAUGCACUUCCAACCUCCAGCACUUAAAUGACUCCUGAUUUGCUCUUUUUAUAAAGCCAAGCUGGGAAACAACAAUAUACUGUUUGAAGAUUCGUUAGUGAAGAUUGUCGUUUGACUGGGCAAAUUUGGACAUCACUUUCCGGGUCGGUGGAAUAUGAAGAUGCUAGCCAGUAUUCGAGUGGAAAUCUGGCUCCUCUUCCACGAUGACCACUCAAUGUUCUCCAGCUUCAUAUCUUGCUCCCAAGUAUUGCCUCAGCUGGUAUUAAAAGAAGGAAGAUAGCCUCAUUAAUUUAUUUUAGGACAAACUCUAAUUUGAACCUUCAAGGAAUCCAAACAUGUCAACCCAGUCCAUUAAAAGUUGAUAGUUUCCAUUUAGCCCAUCAAUCAAGCUUUUGCUUUUCCCAUGUCAGUUUUUCAGAGGACUAGCAGCUAGUAGUAAUUUGCAACUUCAUUAAACGGAUGAUGACCAUUUUUGGCAUUUGCAUCAAGACCCUUUCAAUGUGCACUUGAAUGGCCGGUAAAAUGCGUGCCGCUUUUCUGGCACGCUGCAAAGUUUGGAGCUCUCUGUAUCUGACUUUCUGUAUUAUGUUUAUGGAACUUGAUUGGUUGUCAUGGAUAAGGUUAUCAUUUGUCCCGUUCUUUCAUUAUUGAUAUUCUCCUUCACUCCCACUUUUAUUACUACCACUCCUACUACUUUAGUACCUUUUUUAAUCUUCUCCAAUUCCCAAAGUAGCUUUUUACCGAAAAAUCAUGUAAUUUCACGAUAAACAAUUGACAUAAAUGCUUCAGAUUUUUAAAUCAUUUGCUUUGACUUUCUUUAUUCAGUUUUAUAAUCCUAAGAAUUUAUAACAAUUAAUUAAUCCCUUUAAGAUAUACUCCAUUUGUCACUUUACCCCAUAACUUUUUUCUUGUUUCACUUUAUCCCCUAUUAUAUAAAAUUACCCCUCUAUUAUUCUAAUUUCUUAUUUUCUUUCUGUCCCCUUUUUCUCUCCUUUAUUUUCUUUGCCUCUUUCUUCUUUCUUUACUUAUUUCUCUUUCCCAUAAGAAACUUCAUCUCAAUGAUCGAAGUUAAAAGAAAAAAAAAAAAGAAAUUGCAAAGAUCUAUUUUCACAUCAAAUGGUCAUUAAAUAUUCAAAACCCUUCCCCAAAAUAGCAUUUUUUACACUUUUCAAUUUUUUUGCUUUUUCUCUUCCUAUCCCAAUUUCUCAUUUUAUUCUAAAAAAAAUCACAAGAAGAAUUUGCGACUUGAUUAAUGAUCAUUAAUUGCAAUUUGCGGCAUUGUCAAAAAAUUGAAUUAGCUUUUAAUGCCUUUCCAAACUUCACCCAUAAAUCCAAUUACAAACUCCAAAUAAAGUUUUCUAUUGAGAUGAUGCUUUUUUAUUAGGAAGGAUGGAAGAGAGAAGAAAAAAGAAUGAGAAAAAGAAAUAAAGUAGGAAAAAUGAAAAAUGAAAAGUCAAAAUAAUAAUGAAAGGUAAUUUUAUCCUAUAGGAGGGUUAUGUGACCAAAAUUAAAAAUUAGGCGAUAAGGUGAAAAAUAGGAUAUACCGUAAGAAGAUUAAUUAUAAUUAACGCUUUUCCUAAUUUGCUGUUGAAAUUUUCUUUGGAGUAAAUAAAAAGAAUGAUCAGAAGUUUCGUUUCAGAAAUCAAAACCAGACACUUUGUUCCCCAAAAGUCCCUUUGCAAAAGUGCUGCAAAGCAACAUAUUAAUCACUUCUUCUAAGAGCUCUUAUAAUAAAAGUGCUUUCUGCUACCCCAUGUGUACUUGAUGUAAUACGAGUUUUUUCUGAAUGAUUUAGUAAACCCUCAUCUCCUGCGUCAUCAAUUGCUGGUUUAGCGGUCAUCAGCUUAAAGCAGACAUUCCCAGCCCAAUUCUGAAGUCGCAUCCGACUUGGUUUCACGGUUAAAUAAACCCCACUUGCCACCUGACCCCACACCAAGAACAUUCCAAAUUAAAUUAAAAAGAUAUUAAAGAAAUAGUAGUUUGAGCACUUGUUAAAAAGAGACUCAAGUGUUAAUCUUUUUUUUUUUUUUUAAAUUACAAUUAAUUCAACACGUAUCACAAUUCAGAGGUGCAACAAAUGCUAGCGUACAUACUUAUACCAUAAUUUAGGUGUAAUUUUUGUGUUUUAACGGGUGCCCAUGAGAAAAAUCCUUAAAAGCAAAGAAAGAAAGUCAUAAUGAGAGGCAACUCCCUGACUAUAGCCGGAGGUUCCCACUAGAUUUUCUCAUGUUCUAACGAAGUUUCAAAGACGUCUGAGACAAGGUACAUUACUUUGGAGCAAUUCAAAACAACUUAACAAUUACGAUUAUCCAAUAAAUAAGGCAAAUAUUAGACCCCAUUAGCUACAAAUAUGUCGAAGCACACAUGAUACAACAAAAGAUCUGGUACAACUAGUUUAAGUAAAAAGGUCGUGAAUAUUUAAGUUUGUACAGAUAUUCUGUGAUGAAGUUCAAUUCAUACUGUACGAAUCCCCAAUGUACAUAUGACUGAAGGAUCAAUCAAAAAAUGAAUAUCAUUGAACUUGAAUACAAGAACAAUGCAAAAUCUUUAUAUAUUGGUCAAUCUAUUAUACAAAUGGCUGCCUUUUCUUCAAAAGCUAAGACUCGCUCUACUUCUCAAAUGACAAAUCAACAGGGCAUAUACGAAAGAGCCUCCCAACGAGAAAAAUUGUAGCCGAGAUCGGUCUAAAAGAAAACUACCACAAAUUACCUAUGAAGUGCAAGUGGAUCAUGAGGAAUUGUCAGAUUCGACACCUGGCAUCAAAGUCGGAAUAGAUUGCUGUUCUAAUUCCCUGCGAGAGGCUUCCCACAGCUGCUGUUCUAUUCCCAAUUUCCUCAGCUCUGUUAGGCCUCGUUCAACUGCAAUAAAGCAGAAAUUGCAUGCAAUUAGACCUGAUAAUUCUCAAACAAGCCCACAAGUGAGGUAGUCAUGAUCCUUGUUAGCAGGAAAUAAUAAUGACUAAGAGUUGUUAUGCCAUAUAAACUGAAAUCCGUUAACACCAGCAGAUGUUCACAUGCAACAAGAAUUGCAGGGCAUUUCCAUGCUACUUGGACAUGGACUCGCGAGAUUAAUGUUACUCAGGUGUAGCCAUUGUUGGCCUUAAAUGCAUCUAUUUUUACAAGCAAGAAUCUACAAUAAGCAAAUGAGGAAAAGAAAAGUACCAUCAACGGCAUCAUGUGAUGUUGGCGAUUGUGCAUUACGGCUUAUCCAGAACUGAAGUCUCUCUUCAGCUAUAUCCUCUUCAACACCAUGAUCUUUGGCUCUUCUCCAAAAGUACGUAAGCCAAGCCUGAAAUAUUGAAAAGCAUGUAAGCAAGCUGGUACGAAAUCCCAUUACUCCAAAAAAGAAAGCGUUAUACACGAAAACAGCGGCAAAGAAUAUUAACAAAAAGAUAUACCUCCUUGAAGAGAACAUCGUGCGACUCUUCUUGACUUAAUUCUGCAAAUAUUGAAGCGAAAUUACUGACAUGCCUCUUUCUAAUGGAAGGAUACAAAUGAAAUGCUUAAACCAAGGAAACACUUCAAUUAUUUACUUUCAUCAUCCUCUAGUCUUAUAUUGUUUAACAAUAACACAAUUAGAAGAACUCAACAUGUUCCUUACCAAACGGCUCCAUAUAUUUCGUCUCAAUAGUUGAUUUAGGUUCUGCAAUUCAAGGACAAAAAAGUAUUAGAUGAUUCUAAUGAAAUUGAAAGUCAAUUGCUCUAUUUUUAUGGCAGAGAUUUGAGGAAAAAUGUUAAUGAACAACUUCAAACAUGUUCUCCAACAAUCUAUAUAUGUCACAAACCCAUUACUGAAAAAAAGAGCUACAUUAAAUAUUUUCUGUAAACAACCCAAAAACAGACAUUCACGAUUGCAGAACUGCAUGAUAAUUCUAUUGAGCUAAAACAACAAAAAACAUGCCAAUUCAGUUGAAAGGAGGAGAAAAGUCUGUAAAUAGAUAGGAAAAGGUGCCACAAGGUGACAGUGUGUUAAACAUUGCAUGACUUAGAAAUCAUCCAGGUUAACCUGGAGGACAAAAACUACCUCCUUGUUUUGUGAUAAUCUAUUCAGUCGUCGAAGCCUAUGCCUUUUGCUCUAUGCUAAUAGCAUCUCUGGGUCUAAAGAAUAUCUCUAGAAUCAUGAAAAGCACAAACAUUAAAUUCUUGAGCCUGUUUUAAUGGUUACAAAACUCCAAAGGAACACAACGAGAAAUCAUAUGCAUGAAAUGAAAUGAAGUGGCUUGACUAGUUUGAUGAAGUGAAGUAAUUAAGAUAGUAACAGGAACAGAAACUUUAUCGCAGUCAGAAUGGACAUGCAGAUGGGAAUUCACGUGGUAGAAUUACAGAAUUACCCGUUCAGCUGAAAAACAUGCCAACACACUAGGGGUGGAGCUGAGAACUCCCUACAACAAAGAACAAAUUUGAUAUGCUACACUCUUCAAAAGUAGGAAAAUGUUUUGUUGCUAACAGAUUCUCAAAGACCAAACUUGAAAACUUGGUUUGUCAGAAAAUGGGAAAGCCACAAUAAUCACCAAUCAUCCUGCAAAUGAGACUAAGCAUGCCGUAUUAAGAUAUAAGAGGAUGCUUACAUAUUUAUUCAAAUUUAAUGAAAUGAUGAUAAAGCCAGAUGAUUGACCAUACCCAAGAAAGAAUGACGAACCAAACUUGAACGUCGGUGUUGGGCAAGUGCUAAGACAACAGCAUCCUCAACCUUGAUGGCAGCAGAAAUAAGAAAGUAAUAAUUCAUAAGCAAUGACUCACCUAUAAUCAGAAAUUAAAGAAGGAACAAUUACCAGAAAAUAUGUUACACUAGGGGGUCAAAUGGGUUACCCAAAUUAAUUGGGUUUGGGUGGAAGUGGGUCCCAAAGUUUUUUAAUUGCCUCUCUGCCAACUAUCAUUGCUUGAUUACUAGUAGAGAAACAAGAAAAUAACAAUUCAUAAGCAACAACUCACCUGUAAUCCACAAGAAAAGAAGGGACAUCAACCACAAAAAUAUGUUAAACUAGGAGGUCAAAUGGUCAUCCAAAUUAAUUGGGUUUGGGUCAAAUGCGUCCUCAAGUUUUGGCAGCCACAAUUCACUCCAUUUACUGGGUUGGUAUGGUCAUCAAUAACCCACUUAUGGAAUAAUAUCAGCUUCAGACAAACAAAAGAACUAAUUCCAACAUUUAUUUCAGGUCACAUCUGAAGGCUUAAUAACCAAGUUUAGCUCUGAACAUUUUGAUAAAGAAAACAUAAUCAUUCCAAAAUCAGUUGAAACAUCAAUGCCACAAGAACAGAAAAGGAAAGUGAAUAAAUAGGUCAACAUCGAUAGCAAGCAGGACCUAAAACAUUUGAACUCCAUCCGUUUAUAAAACAUAGUUGAAGUAAUCAAGAAACAAAAUAACUGGGCAGAAAAACACAGUAGUCUUGAAUGAACAACAACCUUCAAGGAAGCUAAUUCCCUUAAGCCCAUUUCAACUGAAAGCAUGCUCUCAAUAUUUCCUUCCCCUGUUAAGUCACUUAAAUUCCGUACAUGUUUGUUCCUUCUUUCUGUAUCAUCUCCACCUGAAUAAUGUCAGAGAUAAUAAUUGCUUAGUCAUACUCACGCCCAGGACUGAAAAUCUACUUAGCCAUUUAACCAAAAUCUAAAAAGCAAUGGUAAAGAAGAGAUACCAUUCCAAGACUCUUCCCUCGCUUUUUGUCCAGCAGAAAUGACAACUUCAAAUGGAAGAGGUGCCAGAGAUGACCAGUGUUCAUGUUUCAAAGCUGCUACAUCAGUACAAAUACCUAGAAGACACAAAAGGUCAAGAACAAUAGCUUCAGAAGAACUUUAAUUAGAAAAUAGCUGGUCAUCAAAGCCAACGAAGAAGAGGAAACAAGGAAUAAAAGACAGAAAACAACAAACUAUCCAUUUAAGUGAAGUUAGAAAAUAACCAUGAAUUACAGAUGCAAAGUAAUUCCUAACAAACUAAAUUCCUAGCAAUAAGGCAUAUGGCACAAAUUACAUCAGUGUGACACCUACUUUACAAAGACAAAGUUGAAAGAGGAAAAGAGUUUCAGCAUAGCUUGAUACAUCCAAUUCCUCAAACAAUUCCAAAUGCAAAAAUAUGAAUAGCAAGAUGCAACCUGAAUUGACACUUGGAUUGGUAUAUAAUGUCACAAGUGAUUACCAUAAUGUACAGCUAAGCCCCAAUAGCGAGCAAGCCAGCACCUCUUCAGAACAACCUCCUCCUAAAUUGCCAAAUCAACCCCCAAGUUGGAAAGAAAAUGAAAGGGAAAACCGAAAAAGGGAAAGAUAUUCAGGAAUCUGGUUAACAUUUGUGUUGUAUAAGCAGGUAAUAAAGACAUCAGAUUUAUAACACAACCAUUUCUUCAUGAGUCAAAAUCAUUCUUUGGGUCAUAACACGUAGAGCUUUUGCUUCAGAUUCAGCUUCUCGCAGCUGCUCCAUGGUAUUCACUGUCUCAUCUUUUAAAUUCUGAAUCAAACCAAUAAAAAUGAUGAGAAUGUUGUUUGAUAUCCUGUCAAAAUAGCAUUGCACUAAGCAACAUUUGCUAACCUCAAUCUCAGCACGUAGAGAUGAAAUUUGUUCAUCUCUCCCAUCCUUCGUCUGCUGCGCAGCUUUAAGAGCUGCCUGAAGCAGAAAAUUUGGAGCAAAAAGACAACAGUCACUACAUUUAUAUCUAAUUUUUCUUGAAGAUGGCAAAAUAUUAGGAAAACAAAAAGGAAAGUAGACAAAACUAGCAAAAAGCAAAGCUAUAGUAGUGGCCCCCUUUCCUACCCAACCCCCCACGUAGAGAGAGAGAGAGAGAGAGAGAUCAUAGUGUUAGCAUGGCUCUACAUAAUAUCUAGCUUGUUGUCUGCCAGCAUUUCAAGCAUCAAUCAGUAGAAAACUUUUAUUGCAAAUUCCACCAAUCACAUAGCUGUUACAUACCUCUCUUUGCCGAAUUGCUGCUUCCUUCCUGCAAAGAGUCAUAGCUAACAUUAGGGGUGUGCAUCGAAAUCGAAUUAGGUAAUUGGGAACUUUGAAUUCGGAAUUUUUCGAAAUUUGGACAUCAGGAAAUUUGAUCGAUUUCGAUUCCGAUUUCACACAUUCCAAUUUCAAAUUUGUACCGAAUUCAAUUCGGAAUUCGGUAAUAAUCAAUUUCACCGAACUCAAUUUGGAGUUUUGAUUUGUAUUUCUAAUUUUUUUAAUUAUAAUUACAUAUAUGUUUUGCUAAACUAAAUGCUAACUUUUGUAUAAUAUAUGUUUACAAUUAUAACAUAAAUAUACAACUAAAUAAGACUUAUUAUUGUACUGUUAAAUAAUAUAAUUGUUAGUUAGAUGUAUAACUAUAUAAUAUAAAUUUUAUAUUACAUAUAUAAAAUAUAUAUAUAACGAAUUCGAUAUUCGAUUUCCGAUUUGAAAAAUAUUCGAUUUCCGAUUUGAAAAACACCAUUACCGAAUUCAAACCAAAUUCAUAUGUUUCAAAUUCGGAAACCCCGAUUUCCAUCCCGAUUUCCGAUUUACCGAUCUCGAAAAUUCUGAAUUCAAAUUGAAUUCGGUCAGUAAAUCAAAAUUUUUCGAUUUUGCACACUCUUAGCUAACAUUAAGCCAAGGAUGUUAACAAUGAUGUAGAACAGGAGAAACAAAGUAGUACCUGCUCAAUAGCUUAGCUUCUAGAGAUACUCCGUCCCCCAGAGCAGCAACCUGUUAACGAAAUAAGGAAGUUAUGAAAAGAAAUCAGGGAUAAAAGUCUAAAAUGGAAAGCCAGAAACUGAAUGUGAUGCCUACCUGUUUCUCCAACUCCCUGGCCCUAGCUUCGGCUUCUUCACGUUUUUCUUCUGCAUGACGAAGCUGUAGGCAAAAUGAGCUACCCAAUCAAACUUAAUGCACAAAUAGCUGUCUUUAUUUUUCCCCUCCAGGUGCUUAAGUAUUUCUUUUAGGCCAGGAAAAUUGAACUGUUGGGACUUUGGAGGAAGAUCAUUUUCCUGGGGUGUUAAAAUAGAGAAAAUAAUAAAGGAAUACAGAAAGCCACCUUGUCAAGAAUAAGUUCAUUUUCCUCUUGUAUCAUGUCAAGCUGCAGAAUAAUAUUCAACUCAUUAAAACAUGUUAAGGAUCCUGAUUAUCCCUUAGAAAUACAAAAUAUAUAAGAUAAACUUAGAUGAGAUGCCCUUCUAGAUCGUCAUACACUCUAAUCAUUUAUGCUGAUGAUUCAUGUACACUAAUAAUGGAGUUCCUUACUUCAUCUCGAAGUGCAGAAGCUUCAUGUUCAUUUCCUGAAGCUUUCAAGUCAACUAGUCCAACAUCUGGUGUGAGCCUGAAUCAAUAACAACAGUGACACGCUAUGACACCUUCUGAUAAAACUCAUUAUUUUCCUUCACAGCUAAAAAGGUAAUGACUGGAUACAUCAUCUCCCAUGUGAUACCAGUAAAAUUAUACCUUAGAUUAAGCAGUUGAACUACUAACAUAAAUGUGAAAUUUUCAGGAGAUCAUGUAUGUUUCAUGAAAGGCAUGCCAAAGAUUCUGCCACAUACCAGCAGUCAAGGCAGACCUUAACCACUUACAGAAAUGCUAUAUACCUAGUAAUUAGCAUUUGGCUCUAUUUAGCUAUCAGAAAGUACACUGGUGUCAGACAUCAGAGCACAAAAGUUUUCACCAAGGAUUUUAUAUGCCUUUGAUCAAUUCCUCUUUCAAAUUUAAUGAAGUUGAGAACGAUAUAUUGCCAACAGAUCUUUUGUUUCAAUUGGAUAAUGAAUUUAGUAAAAAACAGUGAUGACUCAUGUAUUAUGCAACGGCAUGUGGCUUAAAAGUACUAAUCUGAAAAUAGUUCAGAUUAUGAUUAGCAUUAGAUUAUUAUUUACCAAAAAAGACGGAUGAUCGCUCAUAUCAGGUUUCAGGGCCUAGCAAACAUGUCUUCCAUUGCUCAUAUGUAUAAGAUUUUCUGGAUCUAGCAAACAUGUCUCGCAUCCUCUAACUCUAUUUGGGUUACCUUAACCCAAAUGCAGGACAGAUGCCUCUCUAGUGCAUUCUAAGGAGCAUAUCCUUCCAAAACUACAUUCCCCAGACCUGCACCCCCACCAACUUAACCCUUAUACACAUACACAAAGAAAACAAAAUAAUUAAAAUUAGGUUAAAGAAUGACACAUGACAAAGGUUUAUAAAUGAAAAUAAAAAGUCAGCCACACAGCUAAAGAGAACCAUGACUGUAAGAAACACAGAAAGCCACCGAGCUUUAAAGAACAGCUAAACAAAGUACAUCACCUCUUUUCUCGUAAUCUGCCACUUGGAGGUUCUAUUGGUGGGAUGGCAACUGGAGUUCUCAGUGUUGGUUUAUUCUGGGGCAAAACAGUAGUGGUGGUUGAACGAACAGACAUUGAAGGCCUUCCAGCAGAAGUGGAACGUACUGAAGGCGUGUGAUCCAUAAAGUUCCGACCUAACUAAACAUGAUUACAUCCAGUUAGCCAUUAAAAUCACAUAUAAUCUUCAUGCAGAAAGUUAGGAGUCUCAAUUUUCAAAAUUUGUAUUUUGCACAUCAUUAUUUGGUUUCAGACAGCAAAAUAACUAAACCUCCCUAGAAUUUCAGACAGCAAAUCACCAAAUAAUCUUAUUUGCACAAAUUAUCUUACAGCUCUCUUUGUUUCACUUCUUUACACCUUCCACAGAAUCUUACUAGAAAAUGAAAAAUCAAAUGAAUUUCUUCAAAAAAAUAAUUUCGCAUAAUUUCAAAUCCUAUCAUUUCAUAAAAUAUUUUAAUCACUGUUUCUACAAAAAGAUGACAUGGUCAGCAAAACAUGUACACAGGUAAACUCUAACUGGUCCAAGAUCAUUGCAUGAACAGUAAUAACCAAUGUGCACCUAUACUAAUAGCCAAAAAAUUGCAUGAUGAUGGGCAAAAUUUAGAUAAUUAGAAUAUCUUCAGAAAAUUAUGAUAUCAUUCCAAAAAGUCUCAGAGGACUCAAGACCAUAUUUUGCAAUAAGAAAUGCUACCACCUUCUAAGCAUUUUGCUCGAUAGUAUAGCUAACAAUGUUCAUAAAAUAGUUCCUUCACAAAGCCUUUUUUAUCUUUUUGCUUUUAAGUUCUUUACUCUGGCAUAAUUUUUGGCACUCCAGAGAAAUUUCAAUUUCAAUAUAUAUUCCAAAUUCAAACAAUCUUAUUUUACUUGUUGAAUUAAUGGCAUAUAGCACUGACUCCUCCAAAAUGCCGAAUCAAAGCAUGCUUUUUUCCAGCAUACCAAUUGACUUUUAAGCUCUUCACCUCAUAUCUUAGAGUCCAUUGCUUCCAGUAAAUAUCUAGUGAGUAAAACUUAUUUGAAAUUUAACUGAAGAAUUAUCGACGGACAGUCCAGUUCCUCAGCUCAAAGCACCUAAAUUACACCCAAAAAGAGAAACAAAAAGUAAUUCAAAAAAGUUCAGCCUGAUUACCGCAGGUGAUGGAGAUCUAUUCGGUUUAGCAAGCGAAGCAGCCGGGAAUCCACUGUGACUGUUCCUAUCAACUCUGCUACUAUUCACAUUACUAGAAAAACCGCUGGCAGGCGGCGGAGGAGCACCAGCAAACCGAAAUCCAAGAUCAUCAUCAUCGUCAUCGUCAUCGGCGGUGGCCUGCGAAGCCAUGACCUGGGCCAGUCGCUGCGCGGCGGCCUUGGCAGCAACGUUCUGAGUCCUUUUAAUAGUAGACAUCCCCCCUGUGGCCGGCGGUAGCCUCGAUCGUGGAUGCGCCGGUGAUCCUGCAGGCGACGAUGAGCCUGUACUGCUUGAUCCCCCACUCCACUGCCGCGCAUAGACCAGACUUUCCGUGGUCCUCCGAUCCAUUUCUCCGACUUCAAAAAUAUACAGAAAUAUGUGUGUGUGUACUACUAUAUGAAUAUAUACGUAUAGAGUUGUGUAUGUAUAGGUUUGGGAGCUAGAUUUUUGGGAGGGGAAAUUGAGCUAGAUUUCCUCUCGGACGAGACUUGGAUGGGAAUUGGAAAAGCGUUGAAUUUGGGAGGUGAAAACGCAUGUCCAGGUAGAGAUAUUUCUGAAACGGGGAGAAAAAGAAAAAGAAUUGUCGUUAAAAGACUUUAAAGUCACUCUUUCUAGCAAGGUAAGCGGUGAUGACCGGCAUAGAUUUGGGAUUUGGGAGAGGCGACUGGUGCGUAGGCGGGCGUAUGCUACGACGUCGUUAGAUUGUAUAAUAGGGACGAGGAUUUAAAAUUAAAAUGAAGAAAAAUUAAUAUUUACACUCCAGCAUUUGUAAAUUUAGUUUCUUUCCACGCAUUUCCACGGGUCAUUUUGCAGUUAAUAGUUAGUAUAACUAGAAACUACAACACAAAUUUUGAAAAUCUAAAUGUUCAUUUGAUAGAUAACUACUUUUUCAUUCGGCAUUCAAAAAGAGUUUGAAAAUGAAAAGAUUAAACUUUAUCUCCACGCUGAGCUGAUGAAAUUGAAUAAAUGGCAUUGAUUAUAAAUUAUUUGAGAUAUUUUUACUGUAACAUUUUCUAUGAUGUGAUGUAUGUGAGAUAAAAAAUGUAUUGAAAAUUAUAAUGAUGAUGUAAGCAAAUAUAUUUAAAUAAAUAAUCUCCGGUCCAAACACCUAAUGAAAAAGAGAGUCAAACUCCAACGUGUUAAGCAAAAAAAUAUGUACAUGUGUGUGUGUGGCCAAACUCAAUAAUAAGACGAAUGAAAAAACACUGAUAGGAGUAAUGGUACAAAAGGGGAGGGAUAAAAAAAACGAACUUAAGAUAGAGAAAUAACAAAUGAAACACAAUAAAUUUCCUAAUGGCCUUGCCAUCAAUAAUGGGCAUAAUGAGAUUGAAUUAAUAAUCAAGUCAAACAAUAGGAGUAGAAAAAUAGAAAAAAUGUGACUAGUUGUAGAUUUUCCUACUCAUAGAUAAAAGAAAAGGAUAUUGUGAUUAAAAGGAGAAUUAAAACCAUGAACUGAUUGAUUGAUUGGCUCAUUGAUUAAAUAAGAGGAAAGGUAUGAUUAGUAGAAACAUAUAAAAGUUGAUUGGAAUUUAGAGAACGUAAAGUUACGUAAUGGUAUAAUUGAUGUGUUGUAUAUCUAAUUAUAAUAUUAUAUAUAUUAUUUAUGUAUAUAAGAUUAACUAUAGUUUUAAAUAAAAAAAGUGGUAAUAAAUGAUUGGAAUGAUAGGAAAAACGAUAGCUAGUCCAAAUUUUGAUAAUGGUUGUAAAUGAUCAAGUAAAUAAUGUGAAAAGAGAAUUAAAAAGAAAAGCUAUGAGUUGACCUGAAAAAAAAAAAUAGUACUAGUAAUUAAUACAAAAUGAAGAUAAGGUACGAAAUUGAUAAUUGAUCGAAAUUUACUAUAAAUAAAUAAUGAAGUGAAAAGAAUUGCAAAUUAAUUGCGAAAAAAAAGAAGAAAGAAUGGAAUCCGCCAAAAAACAUGCGAACAAACACGAAAGUUUUGAUUCGUACCCAAAAUUUGAACAAACUACGGAUGUUCAAAGUUCAAAUUCCACAGAGAUUGGAGAAUACACGAAUCCAAUCUUCUCGUUGGUAAGUAACUUCAAUCCAACAGUCUCAGGCUGCUUGUCGCCCAAUUUAAUUUGCCCCUCAGUGCAUUCCUGUCAGGCGAGCUGGGCUGGCUGAAUGACAAAAGAUGCUUUGGAUCGAGGUUCACUGUGGUGCUAUGGUGCUGUUGUAGUUCCUCACCGUGGAGGAGCAAUUUCUUCAAGUCACUAGAGAUAGAAAGCCAUUAGACACUUAUUCUUUUUGGGCUCAACCCAACGCAGCAGUGUGGGCUAGUCUCAUGGUGCCAAAGCCCUCGCCCAACCAGCUCCCUCCAACCUCAAUAAUUCCCUGCCGUCCAAGUGUCAAUCUGUUUAUCCGCAUCUUGAAUUGCCAAUCUAUAUCUACUUCAACGGCACAUGAUCUUUUCCAACUCCCACGGAGCAACAAUAUACUUGGUAUUACUUUUGGGAAUUACUCUUACAAUUUCACUCCACAUCCCCCUUUCCACUAUAAUUAAAACCCUUCCAAUCAACUUCCUUCUUGACCCUCUCAAAUUAACUUCACAAUGGAACAUGGCCAUUUACAAGCAUGUCAGCAACGCCUAAAUUUCAAACUCGCAAUAUUGCAAAGGAGGAAACAUCUGCUAACAAAACGAAAAGGACGCCACAACGGUCCCACACAAGAAUUGGAACAGUUCCAACAACUUUGCGUCAGCGAAAGAGAAAUCUCACAUCAACUACGAUGGAUAAAAUCUCGACUAAACCGACUCAAACGCCGCGCCAAACAAAUUAGAAGUUUCGGUACUAUUUAUUCUUUUAAUCUUGAUAUUUUCAUUGUAUUUUCAAUUAUUAAUAAUAUUCUCAAUAUUAUAAUAUUAUUGUUGUUUCUAUACUAAUCCUUGCUGGCUCAAUCAACAAAGUAUGGUACUAUGGCUUUUAUGUGAGUUUAGGCAUUUAGACAUAUAGUUCUCAUUGUAUUAGUAAUUAAUCAGAUUAGUACCGGAACAUGGUCAUAGCUUUGAUUAGGGAAAACGUUAUUGAUUAUUCUUUCAGAACCUUCAAAAACGUUACUGAUUAGGGAAAACCUUCAAAAUCCAUAAUUGAUUAUUCUUUCAAAUUCAACAUUGUGCAGAAACCCAUACUAAUAUUUAUAAAAGGUGUUUCCAUUGUUGAGAAUGGAACUUUUACUAUGUCCUUUCAUAUAUGCCCUUAAAUAUCGUCAUUUGCUGUUCAUAAAACUUCUUACUUUACUCGAUGUGAGCUUUUCGCAAGCAAGGAUAAUUUUGUGUUGAAUUACAAGAGGCGCGGUGGGGUAGAUUGCGUCGAACAUGGCACGGGAGUGCUCCUGUUCUUCUGUGCAAAUUCCUACGUAAAUUGUAAAUCGUUUGGGUUUACGUAAAUUGUAAAUCGUUUGGGUUUAUUGCAAAAUGCUUAAUCUUUCGUGACUGGUCGGGGGGAACACUUAGUUGUUGGGUUUAGGAACGUUCUAAGCCAGUUAUGGUAUGACAUGACUAAUUCGGGUUCUCUAGGCUUUCCUAAUCCAUUUCAUGGACCAGGUAAUUCUUAAAUAUGAUACUUGAUAACAAGAGGGCUUAAGAAAUAGGAAUAGGACGACUCUUGAUCAGAAGGUUGGUAAUCUGAUUUGUGUUUGUUGAGUUAUUAUGCAGCCGAGUGAAAACUGGAGUAGGAUUGAGCCAGUAAAGUAUACUUGAGCCAAUUGGCAGAUUAAGAGAACUACCAAUUGGCAUUACCCCGUUUGUGCCUGGAGCAAGAAAGGACGCUUCACCAUGUAAUAAAGAGUCAAUAUUACUUGAAAACUUAAAAGCUGGGAAUUCGGUUGACAGUCAUGCAACUAUGUCCAAGUUUCAUUAGUAAUCUACAAUGUACAGUUCAGGGCUAUAGGUAAAUGAGCAUAUUACAAUCAUCAAGAACCAAUAGCUUCCCAUACAACCGAUUUUUGGACGAAGAGCAUCUGCCCAUCCGAAGCAUCUUUUAGAAAUCUUACUUAUGGUAGGAAUGAGGUGCUAAAAAAAUGUAAAAUUCAUGUCACAUCUGCACGGGCACAAUCCAGAAUGACAUGGUUUCCAUUGUUUAUAAGAAUCAAGUUAGAAGUUUCGCCACUAUUUAUUCUUUAAACAGUGGUAUUUUCAUUAUAUUUAGAAUUAUUAAUAAUAUUUCUAAUAUUAUAAUAUUAUUAUUGUUUUCAUUGUUUAUAAGAACCAAGUCGGUAUUAUCUAUUCUUUACAUAUUGCCAUUUUCAUUAUAAUUGCAAUUAUUAAUAAUAUUCCCAAUAUUAUAAUAUUAUUGUUGUUUCCAUUGUUUAUAAGAAUCAAGUUAGAAGUUACGGUACUUAUUCUUUAAAUAUUGGUGUUUCCAUUGUUAUUUCAAUUAUUAAUAAUAUUCUCAAUAUUAUAUUAUUAUUGUUGUUUUGAUUGUUUAUAAGAAUCAAGUUAGAAAUUUCGGUAUUAUGUAUUCUUUAAAAUUUGGCAUUUUUAUUGUACUUCUAAGUAUUAAUACAAUUCCGAAUAUUAUAAUAUUAUUGUUGUUUUCAUUGUUAAUAAGAAUGUGGAAAGAGUACCAAUUGCUUAUAAGCACUUUAAUAAAUCCUACCGAAAGCUCCCCAAUUGCUUUGUUAAUAUGUUACAUGUUACGAAAUAGUACUAAAACCUAUUAUUGCAUAUGCAGUAGUCAAUCAUAAUGAAUAGAAUCACUACAAUGUUAUCUAAUAUCAAAGGUUCACAUAAAUAUAUUGUCAUUUUUACUACCAAAAUUGACAAUUUGUUUGGUUUUAUAAUUAACAUAAUAAAAAAUAUAUUUUACUAUUCUAAAUGUUAAAUUACAUACGGGUCCGUUUGGAUUAGCUGUUUUUGGGGUUGUUUUUCAAAAACAACACUAUAGCAUUUCGUUUUUGAAAUACAAGUCUGUUUGGAUUAGUUGUUUUUUAAAAACUAUAUGAAAAACUUUUACAGUAGAAAUUUUUUGGAUUAUUUUUAGAGGUAUUUUUAAAACAUAUUUUUGAGUAUUUUUAUAAUUUAUAAUUUUUAUAUUUUUAUAUUUACAUACAUUUAUGCAUUUAUAAUACAUUUAUAAAUAACUAUAUUUAUAUAAAAAUAUAUAAAUGUAUUAUAAAUGUAUUAUAUUAUAUACAAUACAUAAUAUAAAUAUAUUUAUAAAUGUAUAAAUGUAUAUUAUUAUAAAUGUAUAAAUUUAAAAUGAAUAUUAUAUAAAUGUAUAAAUGUAUAAAUGUAUAAAUUAUAAAUUAUAAAUUACAUAUUUUAAUAUAAAUAUACAUUUAUGCAUUUAUAAUACAAUUAUCAAUAUUUAUAAAUAAAUAUAUUUAUAUAUUUAUAUAAAAAUAUUUAAAUGUAUUAUAUUAUAUACAAUACCUACACAGUUGGUAAGUUUUACAAAUACCAAAAUAUUAAAUUAUUAAUAAUAUUUCAUACCCUUACGAAUAUGUAUUUGAAAAAUUUGCAGGUUUGAGAAUGAUAAAUGUGCUCAGAAAUUAGUGACGUGGUUGCGGUCAUGCAAUUUUACAAUGUCCCAAGCAUUGUUGAUAUCAAAUGCUAAGAGAAUAUGGAUAUCCGAAUAUGCAGUUAUACCUACGGUACAAUUGCUCUCAAUUAAUUAAGUAAUGAACAAGUAUCUACAUGUAGUUUCGAAUUAAUAAUUGUAAUCUAUAAUUGUUUGGAUGGUUUUAGGUUAAAUAUUUCGGAUACUUGCUUACAUUCAAAGUAUUAACCUAGACAAUAUGUUCCAUGAGUUAUGCAAAAAUUGUGGCCAACCAUGUCAAUCUCAUUUUGAAAAAAUGGUGUGUAUCCAUUGUAAUGACGUAGUCGAUACUAUUGUCAGGUAAUUAUUUUCAUAUAUUUUGAACUUUAAUAUAAUUUGUUGCAUCAUACAUCACAAUUUCUUCUUAACAGAUACAAUGUUAACAUAGAAGUUAGAGAUUCCAGUGGUACCUUAUACCUCGCUCUUCAAGACAGGCAUGCACGAUUCAUGUUUCAUUGUGAUGAUUCUUAUCUUAGAGAUUUAAAAACAAAGGUAUGCAUUAUUUAUAUGUAUAUUUUUUUACACAAUAUUAUUUACAAACUGUUUAAAACAAAAGUUAAUUUUGAACUAUGUAUGCUUUUAAUUGUCGGAAAAAUGGAGGUGCAUUGUUCGACCAACACAUUAAUUCAUGCAAAAAUCGUGCAUUCUCAUUUAUAGUGCGAACUCCACAAAAAUCAAUAGAAUUAAUUAAACCCCCAAUACUGACGUUCGUACUCAGAGUUGAUUGGUGUGAACUGAUUGGUGUGAAGAAUGUUCACACCUUCGUAGAAGAUUAUCAAAUCAAAGGCAAAAUGUCUGUAAGUAUUUCAUUCGCUUAUCGAAUUAAAUAUUCAAUUAUAUUUAAUUGGACCCUUAUGUCGCUCAAUUUAUGAUAUAGAUUUCAAUUUUUUUCAGGAUCCAACCUUCAUCAAAGUGAUCGUUUAUAAAUAAUGGAGAUGAUUUUAUCAAUAUUGAACUAUUGUUACAAAGUUUCAUUUUUUUAAAUAUACUUUCAUGUGCUCAUGAUUAUAAUAUUUUACUAUUUUUAAAUUCUUUUAUAGAUUGUAAUUUUUUUAAAUAAUGUAAGUACCGUGCGUAGCACGGGUAUUCACACUAGUAGCUAUCAAAUUAAUAGCGUCCAGUGGUUAUCCCAAGUCUUCUUAGGCUUGGUGGUGCGGGAGGUCAAGGGUUCGAACCUUGCCUCCCACAAAAUUUGUCACAAUAUGUGACGGUCUUCAUUGACCAGUUUCGAUGGAGUUUCUACUCACAUCGAGUCCCCUCCCUCUCCCCCUAGAAUAGGCUAGUUUAGAUUAUAGGAAUUCUAUGUAUCGACAAAAAAAAAAAAACAAAUUAUUAAUCUUUGAAUUAUUAGUUUUUUUGAAAUUUUUACAAUAUAUAAAGUAACGAUUUAUCGUAUGUUUGUCACAGGGUCUAGACUUCUGUUUUGUUUGAUGACCCAAAUGUCAGUUGGAAUUUGGACAGUAGCCAAUUGACAGAAAGAUGCAUAGUUUUCCACCGAGAAUAAGUUCUGUGUCUUGUGAAAUCUCUACAACGUUUCCAAGUGAUUGCCAAUCUCAGGGCAUAUAAUACAAGAUUGUGUUGGCUGUCAAUAUAUCUUUUAGAACCACACUAGUAUGACUACGGGACACUUAGGACAGCGACAUUGCCGAUGCCGUAGCCCGAAGCACAAAAACAAACUACUCCAAAACAAGUUCUGAUCAAAGAAACUAUCGAUGUCAGAAGCAAACAAUAAUGACGGCUAAUUCUGAACUGCAAAUCACAUGAGUGUGCUCAAGAGAGAAGAUUCAUUAGAAUAUUUUUUUUAUGAUAUGAGAUAAAAUAUUAGUUAAAAAUACGCUUUAAAUUCUGUAGGUACAACAGUCAUUUGAUUUGAUGUUUUCGCCAAUCACGUUUGGAUUGCAAUUUUUUAAAUUUUUUUAUAAAAAAUGUACUAUAUCAAAUUCAUAUAUAUGAGAUAAAAAAGUGAUUGAAAAAUGUGUUAACAAAAAAUGUAAAAAAUUUGUCAUGAAAAAUAGCUUUCCAAACAAAGUCUUUAAAAAAGAGUAAAUCUUAUAUACACUGACAGUAUAUAUACUAUCACCGUUUCAUUCAUGACCUGAGUGUAAAAGUUAAAUUUUAAAUUCUAAUUUUACAUAAUUAUCAUUCAUCCAACGCUAAAUAUUUAAGAAAUAACUUUCCAAACAAGGCUUUUCAAAAAAAGGAUAAAUCUUAUAUACACUGUCAGUGUAUGAAAAAAGAUUAAUCCUUUAUAAAAAUAUAUGUGGAAAUUUUUUUUGUUACAGUAUUCUGCGUGGACCAAAACGGAACGUUUCCUCUCACAAAUGCCAGGAGAAUUUCAAGGAAUCUUGGCAGUUUUUUAUUUUCCUUUUUGAUUCGGCAUUUCUGAAAAGUAUUAAAAGUCCUGCUCAUUUCUUCAUUACUUUUUCCGGCCACAUCUGAUAUGGGAUUGUGGGCCCAAUCUGAUCGGAGUAAAUAGCGGUAAACAUCUCUGCAACGACUUCAGGCGAAAUAAUUCAAAGUCUUCUUUUAACCAAUUGCUCCAAAAAAAAAAAAAAAAACUUCUUAGCACCAUUGACCGCACCAACCAGUGUGAUGGUAAGUCCAGAUCUCACCAACCCAUGUAGUCUCCAAAAAAAAAAAAUGUAGUAUCCAAGGUUGCGUUUGGAUUGCAAUUUUUGGAGUUUUUGUAGAAAAUAUACCGUAGCGAUUUGAAAUAUAUAAAGUAAAAAAGUGAUUGAAAAAUGUAUUCAUGAAAAACGUACAGAUUUUCUUUUGAUAGAAAAUCUCUUUCCAAACAAGAGCUAUCCAAGAGUAGAGUUACAGAUCAUAAUCUAUCUAAUAAUCUAAUUAUAAUAAAAGAUUGUUAUUUCUUAUCAAAUAACAUAUGAAAAAAAUAAAUAAAUUUUCAAACGGAUCAUAAAUGAGAAAUUAGGUAAGCUUAAACUCAUUUAUUAAAUAGACAUAAAUGAGUUGAUCCCUUUGAUCUAUUUAUUAAAUAAAUGUAAAUGGAUCGAAUCACCUAUCUUUGAUGCAUCUAUGGAAGAGUAUAAUUAAAUUCUCACUAUUUACAACUUAAACUUCUACCUAUGACAAUGCAGUAGGUAUAUUUUUUUAACCCUACCCCAUUGAAUCGGUGGUUAAUUUGUAGUUUUAGAUCCUAAACUAUGAUCAAUGAAAAUAAUACGGUAGACAUGUUUUGGAACUUAUUCCAUACAAUUGGUGGCUAAAUUGUUGUUGUCAACAUAAAAUUGCACAUUGAACAUUAAUGAGACCAUCACUAUAAUUAAUUACCAAGCAUUGAAAUAUUGCUCAAGUAGUUUAACCUUUCUCCAAAAAUUAACGUCCUAUUCUUCAUGUGCGACAAACCCAAAGAUACAAUUUAGCUACUUAAAGGCUUAUAAAAUUAAAAUAAAGUGGAAAUUAAUUGCUUAUCAUCAUAAUAAUUUUAAUAUUAUUGAUUGAAAUUGAAUGAGAAUAAUGAGAACCGAAAUGAAGUGUGAACCAUAUUGGCUCGUUAAUUGAGCCGAGAAUGUGGAAAAGAUGAUCACGUGGUUGGAAAUUGUUUCAUUGGUCAAAUCCUGGAGGCUCGACAGUCAACACGUUCCACCAACCUUUGCCAAAAAUCCCGUGUUUUUCUAAUUGCGUUAUCAGAUUCCACUGAUCCUAUGAAUCCGUCACCAACAACAACCUGGCGUUGGAAUCUUUAUCUAGUAGAAACAAUUAAUGGGUUUGUUUCUUGAACACUAAUCCUGAUUUUUCCAAUUUUCACGCACAACAAAAAGUGGUACUAUAAUAUAAUAAUACUCCUAUUGCUUUUAGGAUUGUUCUUUGGUACUCCCUAUUAGGGAUUGAUGUAAAUCAUUUUUCGUUCGGUUCAUUCACCUUUGAUACAUGUACUUGCGACUUGGUAUCAUCAGCUCAGCUACCCCUAGAUCUACUGCUCACCAUCUAACAAAGUAGAGAAAUACAGUACCACCAGCCAGCAGCCCAUUACUUUAUAAUAAGUACUUUAGUAGCACGCCCUUUUCUCUUUGUGCAGCCACCCAAUCACACCCACUGUCUAUUCCCAUUCUUCGUACCAGUAGUAGUCUGUUGACUUGUGGGAGUAUUUGGGUUUUGUGAAGAUGUCUCUCCUUUCGGAUCUCAUUAACUUGGAUCUCUCUGAAUCCACGCAGAAAAUCAUUGCCGAAUAUGUUUGGUAAGCAGCAGCAUUUAUCUGCAUCUUUUUCUUUUCUUUCUGGGAUCUUUCCAUUUUCCUGCAGCUUUUGAUUGCAUGGUUGGGCUUUUUUUUCAUAUUUGGAUCAAUGGGUUUUUCUGGGAUUUAUUUGAUAUUCAUGAAUCGUGCAAAAUAUAUGAUAUGAUGAUGUUAUGUACCUUAUCAGCUUAUCUGCAUGCAAGAACACAUAAAGCUUGGACUUCUAUGGCUUUUUUCCCGUUAUUUUAUCUGUUGUUUUUGUCCUCCCCCAACCCCCCCCCCCUCCCCCAACAAACACCAAGAGUUUCUCUUUGUUUUGAUGUAUGUGCGGUGUUCGACUAUUGACCCCCAGGAUCGGUGGAUCUGGUAUGGACAUCAGAAGCAAAGGCAGGGUAAGUCCUGUAUUGACUAACAAUGAUUAGUUUAGUCAACCUUUUUUGGGUGUAAGUUUUGAUCUUCUUCAGAUUUUGUUGUCGAUUUAUUUAUCCUGUGAAUCAGACUUUACCUGGACCAGUUAAUGAUCCUGCUAAGCUUCCCAAGUGGAACUACGAUGGUUCAAGCACUGGUCAAGCCCCUGGUGAAGAUAGUGAAGUGAUCUUAUAGUAUGUUUCUUUUGCUUAUGUCGUUUUAAUACCUCAGUGCUUUUUUUGUCUUUUUUACUUUCCCUUUUAUUCUUUUAUUUUAAUUUCCAAGAAAGUAAUAAUUUUUCUCUCUUUUUGGGUGUCAAAAUGUAGUCCUCAGGCAAUAUUCAAGGAUCCAUUCAGAAGGGGCAAUAACAUUCUUGUGAGGGCCUUUUUGUCUAGCACUAGUUGCUCAACUUAAAAACAAUCGAUCUUAUUCUGCUUUAAGUUUCAUUGUAAUUUUUUUUUUUUUUUUAUCGUGAUGACUGUAGGUUAUGUGUGAUGCUUACACUCCUGCUGGGGAACCUAUUCCAACAAACAAGAGGUACAGUGCUGCAAAGAUAUUUAGCAGUCCUGAAGUAGUUGCAGAGGAACCUUGGUACGUUCUAGUAAUUCUUUUUACUUUUACUGAUCUAGAAAAGAUUUUUUUUAUAUUGUUUUGUUCAGGCAUAUAGUUAAUCCAAUGAAAUAAUGCAGGUAUGGAAUUGAGCAAGAAUAUACCUUGCUGCAGAAGGAAGUUAAUUGGCCUAUUGGAUGGCCGAUCGGAGGGUAUCCUGGACCACAGGUAGCGUCUUUGUCUCGUUUGAUGUCCAUUAAGUUGUUUGGUUGUUGUUAUUCAAUAUCGGCUUCCUAUAUCCAAUCGUUUCGAGUCAUAUUUUACCGGUUACUAUCUUUCAGCUUCAAUUUAUGGUAUCUUCUGUACAGAGUUAUUGAUUUGGUAAUUUGUCUAAUCUAACUCACAGGGACCAUACUAUUGCGGGGCUGGAGCUGACAAGGCUUUUGGUCGUGACAUUGUUAACUCACAUUAUAAAGCCUGUCUCUAUGCCGGCAUUAACAUAAGUGGCAUCAAUGGAGAAGUUAUGCCAGGCCAGGUAUAACUCAUGAAUUCAGAUAUAUAUAUAUAUAUAUAUAUAUCUAUCUGCCUCUCGUGAUUUGAAACAAGAAAACUUUAAUCAUGCUUGUGGCCGAAAAGUAUAAAAACUGUCUUUUUUUGCAUAGUGGGAGUUUCAAGUUGGUCCUGCCGUCGGCAUCUCUGCGGGCGAUGAGGUUUGGAUGGCACGCUACAUUCUAGAGGUACUUCAGUUACAGUCCAUACUGACUAAACUAGAAUCUAAAAUUAGAUAUCCACGUUUAAUUUGUUGACGACUAGCUUAUGAUUUGUACUCUCUUUUCCUGUUGACAGAGGAUAACUGAAAUUGCUGGAGUGGUCCUUUCUUUUGAUCCAAAACCUAUUCAGGUUAGAAUCGUGAACUCCAUAGAUCUGCCUGUUUACCAAUUUUAGCAUCUUGUGAGAUUACUGAGAUUGUGAUGUUAUCAUAGAGCUGCUAAUGUUUUUUUCUUUGGUAGGGUGACUGGAAUGGUGCUGGUGCUCACAGUAAUUACAGGUUUGAAGUCCUUUUUAUUUUGUGAAGAAUUACUUCCCUGCAAAUUUAUUUCAAGUAGACUGUUAAAGUCAUACUAUGAGUUGCAUUUAUGCUCUAAGAUGCAAUACUAACCUGUGGCAUAAAACGCUAUUGAUGUUGCUAUCAGUACCAAGUCGAUGAGAAGUGAUGGAGGAUUCGAUGUUAUAAAGAAGGCUAUUGAAAAGCUUAAAUUGAGGCACAAGGAUCAUAUUGCUGCUUAUGGGGAAGGCAAUGAACGUCGUCUUACUGGGAAGCAUGAAACCGCAGACAUUAACACCUUCUCAUGGGUAAAAACUUCUUCACUUCUGAUUCCAUCACAAUAUUGAUUUGCAGCAGUGACUGGUUGUCGAUGAGAUAAUUAGCUGGCAUGGUCACCUUCUUGCCAAUUUAUUUUCGGUUGCUUGAUUUAGAAUUCCAGUGUAUACUUGUUAACAACCAGAAACUUUGCUUGGUAAAGUCCGGACAUUUCCAAAUAUUAUUUCUGUUUCCGGGGUUAAAGUUAACGAGUCUUGAGCACCUUUUUUCAUCUCUACCUUUGUCUUCUUUCAUUAACUGCUCGGUCAUGUCACACUGCUGAGACUGUGUAUACAAUUGACACGCAGGGUGUAGCAAAUCGCGGAGCCUCUGUAAGGGUUGGCAGGGACACAGAGAAGGCUGGCAAAGGUUAUUUCGAGGACAGGAGGCCUGCUUCAAACAUGGAUCCUUAUGUCGUGACUUCCAUGAUUGCAGAAACAACCAUUGUGUGGAAGCCAUGAGGCCUAAACCAUAUUCUGCCGCAUCAUGGAUUUAUUCGCAUUCUUGAACGCUGGAGUCAUUUAGAUGAAGUGUACUCUCUUAUCAUUCUUAUAUAUCAGCUUCAUUAUCCUUUGACACAAAGCAGUGGAAUUUAUUUAGUCCAACGGUCGGUUGGUCCCGGACAUAUGAUUCUUCAUAGGAUUGUUCUUUCUUUGAUAAUAUUUGUUUGCCUCUGUCUGUCCAUCUUUUGCUAUUCAAAUCAAGGGCAAUCCAUUGGUGCCUAGGAAGUAAUCAUAUGCAUAUGUAUUUGUUUCAAGACCUCAGCAUGCAUAAAGUGCGGAUCUUGCCGUGUGUCUCUCAUUGUGGAGUAGGAAUCUGCACUAUGAUGGAUGGAGUAUUGCGUUAGUGAUGCCGGCUGUAUUGUGCUGCUGAAGGGUAAUUGUUCCUGUAUCAUGUGAUAGCCAAGAACUGAACUGAUGAUUAUGAAGUAGCUAACAACAUCCAGGGAGUCACGCUCUCUCUCAACUCUCUAAGACGUUGAUGAAGAGAUUUCUACUUUGGUAAUAUGGACUACGACAUAGGGUCUCGCGUGGUAAACACAAAAAUGAGCGCACAUCCAAGGGAAUUUUCACAUGUUUUUUAUUUUUUUGUUGAAACUUUUUUUUUUUGGGGGUCUUUUACUGCUUAGCCAAAGAGGAACUUAUGUUUGAGCUUUGCUAAAUAGAGGAUAGGCUUUUGUCAGAACAUGGAGAAGAAAUAAACCUCAAGAGUCAUCUGAUUGCGGAGGAAAUAUUGUCAAUCAUCUUAAUCAACAAACAAAUCAAGCAAUCAAGCAAUUGCUUUUUGGUAAACUGGUGGAAUUAUCUUAGAUUCUGGGUGCGUGUUCCUUUGCGCUGUUGAAAAACAAAUCAAGCAAUCAAGUGGAUGGUAAAUCACCAAAGAUUACACCAAACCACUAACCCCACUCAUGACUCAGGUCAAGUUGAAUAAUGCGAGAGUUGAAUAACAAGAGGUCGUGCAUGCCCCAUCCAUCAUUCAGACUUUGGCAAUACGAUGUGGGAUAAUUUCCAACCAAUAUGGCUUGGCAUUGUUUGGUUUUUCCGAUUGCAUCAGGACACGCGACUUUCAUUCCAAUUCCACCGGUCCAACAGUCGCUCGCUUCGCUCCGAUUCCUCCAAUCCCGGGUUUCUUAUGUUAUAGUUUUGAUGAUGACAGAGUCAAAACAAACGGUAACAAUUUCAUAUAAUAAAAAAUUUUAACUCUACCAAUUUCUUUCUUGGACUAAUAAUUGGUCUUACAAAUCUUUCCACAAUGGAUAUUUUCCCCUCUUUUUUUUUAAUUUAUUUUUUGAAAAGACAGCAUGGAUGAAACGGAGUAAGCCAACAUUGAAGUAUUGAAAAUCAAAUUUGUAUACCAAAACUAGGGGAUGACACACUUCAUUAUUGGGUUAGUGGAAAUCAAGAGUGUAAAACAGGAAAAUAAAGCACCCAUUACGGGGUAUUAUUGACAAAGUCCGUGUAAUCGUUGGAUUCGUCCCGGAUGAGAAUAAGAAAUGAAUAUGCAGAGAUCUACCUGGAUUUAUUGUGAUUCCCUUCUUUGUUGCAGGAGUCAUAGAUUAAAGAUUUCAAGUAAAGAAUCGUACUUACAAAAAAGCAAAAAGCAAAAAAAAAGAGAUGCUGAUCCCUUGUCCAUGAUUAUGUCAAAGCUACUUUAUAUAUUCUUGGCAUCUUCCCUCUCUCUUUGUUGAGUUCCAUAGUGCGAAGCUGACUGAGAAUCUAAACAUUACCACGCGCAUUAAUUAUUACGGUUGGUAUGAAAUAUAAAUAAUUACAGUAAUUUUUUAUUGAAAUUUUCUAACGAAUAUCCAAUAAACACUCGUUAAUACACUUAACUUUCACUUAAUCUAUCAUGCAUAUACGUACAUUAAUAAUUACUAUCAAUCCUCACAUUUAUACAUUUUUCCUAAUUAAUCUUACCUUUACAAAAAUUUAACACCUAAAAUAUAUUUUAAUGAGUGCUUAACGGACAUCCGUUGGACAAACCGUUUUUUUAUUUAUUGAGCCUCAAGUUUCAUUCUCCUUUCCCCAAGAGCUACGUGGAAUUUGUAAUUUGCCGUUGUUGAUCCGAAGAAGCUGCAAAACUUUUUUUUUUUUUUUUUUUAUGUACUAAUGACUAGCAGACUUCACACAGCCCAUGCCCACUUAAAAUUUCAAGAGCAUUUAAGUGGAAACUAUUUAUGCUUUCGCAUAAAAUCAAUAGAAGACAAAAGUAGAAUAUUUGCCCACUUAUGUAUAUUACUAAAUACAAGAAUAAAUCUCAAUCCUAUCACUAAAUACUAAUUAGUAAUUACUGAUUAGGUAAACUAACUAUAACUAUACUUGAUGAAGAUAAAAUUUUAAUGGAAUUUGAUACAUUGGAGUUUAGCUUAACAAUUAAAUUUAAAAUUCUUAUUUAUUUCAAUAUCGUAUAAGAAUUAAGAUUAUGAGUUAGAACUUAGGAUUAUGAACCCCUUUUUUCGCAUAUCAUGUUUGUUUGCGUAAGUCGAUUAAUUUUGCUGAAAAACAUAUGAGAUAUUUUAUUUUGUUAUAACAAUUUUUUUAAAAAAAUUAAAAUAUUUAGCUUCUAUAGCAAUAGAUAGGUGAUUAACAAAAAGCAUUACCAACGAAUGGAAAAGAAUACUCUAUAAUGCCUACAACUGUAACAAGCACCUACCAUCCAUCCACCAAUUAAAAACAAUACAUGACCAAGAAAGUUCCUGCAAUACUAUAAACUCCGGUCUUGAGUCCAUAAAAUUACCCCUUAGGCAAGCCUUUGAUGAUAAUACACGGGAAAAGCUUGCAUAGGCAAACCUUUGUGAUAAUACACAAGAACAGCUUUUCCAUUACUAAGUCAAUGUAUAUGCAUAACUGGCGAUACAAAACUGGGCUGUUUAAUGGUACAACAAUUCUGAGGCUUUGGCGGAGAGAUUGUCUACAAUGUACGUGGUAAAAUGUUUACAUCAAUAAGAAUUGCAUUAUCUAUAUUACCAAAAAAAUGGAUGGUGUAUAUUAAUCAUAAACCUAAUGACAUUUGAGUGCUACCAUCAAGGAGAGACUCUGGGAGCUCUAAAAGACCUCGUCAGUUAACACGAGCCCAGAUUCAGGUACUUGCCAUAUGUCAUCGGUAAUAAUGCUGCCGCAUCAAUGUCCACCUCAAAGCGGUGUUCAAUCAUCCACAUUGUAAUAAUUCGACAAGAUCGCACAAAUCCUCCAGAGAAGCAGCAUGAUGCCCGCAAGCUCUGGAAUGGGAGGUGUAUAGGUGUUAUGGUUUGAGAAUGAAGUUUCCUAAUUAUUUUGUCCCGCAAGAAGCAAUUUUGAUCUUAUAUAAGCUAGGAUUGAGUAUUCCACUAGGAUACAGCCAUCAAGCAGGCCUAGAACCUCAAUAGGAAGGUUACCAGAAAGGACAAAAGCAUGAAGAACUAAUGAAGGUUGGAAAGCUGGAACCAGUGACUUCAUAUCUUAAUACAUUUGGAAAAAAAAAAAAAAAAUCUCCCACAUGUUCAUCUUCAGAUCAUACAGGCUGCACAGAGCCUCUACUUUAACAAGGAAAGCCCCUUGGAGCCUAAGCAGCAGAUGAUUGUUAAGGUGAAAAUGUUUUCUUAAUCCCCUAGCUUCAAUUGUCCCCUUUCCAACUAGUUUUAGAAUUCAAACUAACAAUCAUUCUCAUUUUUCAAUCAUUAGAAACUCAAGACAAGGGAAAGAAGGGGGAAAUAAGAAAGGAAAAAGUCCAGGAAAUAUACCUUUAAUGCAAAAACUCCAGCACGUUCAGGCUCUUGAUUUUUACGUUGUUGGCCUGGUCAUUGUUGAUGAGCCACGUCCCAAAGGAAUUACAGUCUGAAGACCCUCAACUGAGUCUUCCUCUUGUAAUAGAUCUGCAGACAAGAAUUCAGACAAGAAUUCAAUAAAUGAUUUGCCAGGAUCAGAUUAUUCCACUUGCAUGUAAUAGACGAGAAGCUCUACAUGUCAUCGUUAAAAAGCAGGUAACGUCAAAAGCAUACACCAAAUGCAACAUUAUGCACUAAACCUUUAAACGACCAAGAUUAAACUCAAGAAGAAAUAUUUGAUUGACCUAAUCCUUAUGGUCUCAGACUCAAGGCACUUACCAACUUGACUAAUUCCAUUUCCUGUAAGAUUAGAUAAAGCAACAUUCAUUUCGUAGAUAUAUAUCUUACCCGAAACUCCUUCUCCAGCCUGAGUACCAGCAACUCCAAUACAAGAAAACAAGGAAUUCUCAUCUAUCUUCAAUUGUUCAUAUGCCAGGUAUAUGUCUUCAAUGUUGGCAGUUUCAUAAAACGAUGUGAGAUCCUUGAUACAAGUGAUGUCCUGAUCAUAGAAAAUAAAGUUAAAACUAAAAGAGUAGCAAGAAACAUAACAUGUUGAAUAACUUGCAAUACUUGACAUUCAUGAACUUUAGCUGAUCACAGGGUGAUUCACUUGUAUGCAUUUGCCCUAAUGAUACCAAGACGAGGUGCAGUUAAAAAAGAUCUUCUCUUGUUUUACCUUCCUGGGUACAGAAGUUGCUUGCAAGUGAGCUAACAACCCUAGCCAAUAAGCAUUUGAUUUGAUUUCAGCUUCAUGUCUCAUCAGCAGAGUUCGUUUUGCCUGUGAACAUGACAAAGUUAUAAAGUAACAGAGACAAAACAUAUACAAACAUGGUUUUAAGAAUAGAAAUUUCAGGAUCAUUAGAGCAAAAUUGUCCUCUCAUUGCACGAAUACUGAUCAACUCAUAUAUCACAUGUGCCUAGUUUUGUUUGAACUUAUGACUUAAACUAUAUCAUUUUAUUUCAAAUGCUUUCUCUCGAUAAUUUUGACUUCCACAAGCUCAUCUGUCUUUUCAUGAAUCAAAACAAUGUUAUCUACAUAAAUUUUGAUUGAUUUCAGCUAACCAGACCAGAGGCAAGGCAAGAAUACAAGGAUUGUGAUUGCAAUCAUUGACCGUGGAGCCCACCUAAUUCACUCCAGAUAUUGCCACAUAGUUGGUCUCAUUAAGAUCAUCCUUAAGACAUCAAUAUAAUAUGUUGUCGGUAUUUUGUUCCCUCCUUUAAAAACAUCACAAAGCAGCCAUAAAUGCUACAUCAUAUUCUUUUCCAAGCCAAUGGUUUUCCGCUUAUCUAAUUGAUGCUUGGAAACAGUUCAUAGUCUAGAUUUGUCAAUCUAUACAUAAAGGGGACAAGUGUAAAAGAUUGGAAAAGUAACUUACCCUAUCCAACUCCCUUGGAGUAAUCCUAUUAGUAUGCAGACCUCUUAGGACAUUUUUGCAAGCAUCAACAGCUUUAUGAACCUGUAUAUUAUUACGGGGAGACUGUCAAAUAAACCAUGGAUAAUAAGAGAAUGAUCUCAUUAGCCCCGUUAAAGCCAAAAAGGUACCUUGCCAGGAGUUGAUGUUACUGAGAUCACAUACCAACCAAGAUUCAGCCGGUCAAACAGGUUCAAUUCAAAUGAUACAUCAUAUGUCAAUCCAAGGGAAUCCCUAACAGUUGUAAAAAGCCUACACAGAAACCAAACAACAUUUUGUUACACUAACAAAAUGAUCUUCCAUCAUGUUCUAGGCAAGAAAAAAUAAAAUUGAGAACAUGGAUAAAGUAAAAUGUGCAAAUGCGAUAGAUAAGCUAGUGAAGGAAAGAUUUUCCAAGGGCUCAAUAAAUAAAAAUGAUAAACAGAGAGGUCAACAGAAGCCAAUCCAAUGAAAUCAAAUGUGCCUAGAAAAAUAUACUGAACCAAGAGCAAUCAUUGGGGAUUACCUCGAAUUUAUGACUUCUGCCAAUAUGCCCAUUGUAAUGGCAAAAAAUAGUGGGUGUCUGCGAAAUCCUUGUUGCAAUUCCUCUCCACUUCUCUGUGACGCCAUAAGUUGGUCCUCCAGUUUCAACUGUUCAUUCGCACCUGGAUUGCAUAUUCACAUUUUUGUUAUUUGUACAUUCAAAAAAGUAACCACACUUCUAGUUAUAAGUUCAAAAACCCAAAAAAUCAUCCCUUCAGCACCAACUAAACUUCGAACUGCAUUACCAUGCCGUUGGCAACGCAAUAAUUCAAUUAUAACUCGAUGUGGAAGAAUAACACGAUUCUACCGAUUUAGAAAGCCUUUCUAAUGCAGUCAAGACGAAGAGAACAACAGUUGAGUUCAAGUUUCAAACAAGCAGCUCACCACUUGGUUAAACACGUCGAUGUAAAUGAGGGAUAUUUAGAACCCUAGGAUUCUAUGUGAAGCUUUUCCCAUCUUCCCAAAUAUCUAUGGUCAACUAGUACAUUGUGAAGUUUUUCAGUGCUUUUCUGCCUAAGGACAUUUCUCAAUUGAUAAUGCAGAGUACUGCAAUGUCUUCUUAAGCAGGAUUCAAACACUUCACUCGGGUUCAACCUCUUCCUUCCACUCUCAAGACUUUCCUCUAGAUCUCAUUUACUCAUUCUACAGGUUCUGCAAGUAUUUACAUGCAUUCAUUCUUCAAAUUAUAGGUAUAAAAUAUGAAGCAACUCAAUUUGGGGUAAGACCAGUCAACAUCAUCUUCCAGGCAGAACUUUCCUACAUGGGGUGAACUCCAAUGAGAUGACAAAAUCUAUAGUUCUGGCCUCUUUCAGCAAGCAGACAAGAUUUUAAGAGAAACUGCCCAGUUUAGUGAAAAAAUCACCUUCAUGGGUAGGAAUCCCAUCAUCAAUAGCUUCAAAAAGGUCUUGCCCCUCAAAAGUAAAACCCCAGCGAUUUGGGGCAGGACCCGCAAUAUAAGCACAUGCCCUCUCAUCAGUGUCCUUGAGAAAUACCUGAUAAAGAUGAAACAACCACCAUGAAAUAAAAUAGACAGGAGGAAAAUUUGGAAGCACAAAGUCAAGCUUCAAAAUAUAAUCAAACUUGUCAAACCAUGCACCCACAGAGCACAGAUCGUAAAGUGUGUGUGGGAGCAAGCUCUACUAUAUUUUAACAGAAGUGCAAAAUACAAUUUUGUAAGUUUUUUUGGCAAUUUGAUUUCAAUAAGGUGAAUUAAGUGUUAGAAUCUUGGUGUCUAGCCUGCCCAGCCAGAGUCCAUCAUUGAACUAACAACCAAAUUCAGUAGCAAAUUUGAAAAAGGCAUCAAUUUCAAGAAACUGUAUUGAUUCUCACUUGUUGAUGUUGUAAAUCAGCAGCUGGGGGUCUGAAUGUGAUAGGCCUGUAACUCUGUGCUCUCUCUAGACCUUUUGUUGCUUCAACAGUACCCAAGUAAUCAAGGAUACAUGACUCAAUUUCAUCCUCUGAAAAGUCACCAACGAUACUCACCUGAUGACAAGAGUUCAAGUCAUCAAACUUGACAACAUGUCUCAUCAACAAUAAAUGAUCAUUGCCUACUUUAUUAACAAAUUUUUCACACACAUUGAAUGAGAAAGAAAACAUAAAAUAAAAUGAAAUAAAAUUCUGCACCUCCAUGUUAUCACAAACAAAUUGACUCAUCACUGCAUCUUGUACACAUUCCAAUGUUAAGUUUUGCAGGGAAUGAGGCGUGGGUUCAACAAAGCGUUCAUCUCCAUUCAGCAUUGCCAACAUGAGUUUGUGCGCAGUUGAACGUUCCAAGCUUUUUGGAAUAGAGCGAUAAUAUGACAAAUACAACUGUCUUGCCCUAUCAAACGCAUCAUCUAGCCAGACACUAUGCUGCAUAUAGGUACAUCAUUGCAAGAAUGAGAAUGACUACAAUACCAUGUAAAAAUUAAAAACAUCAAGCAAGACUAACUAGCAUCGGUUGACACAAACCAACAAUAAUCCAAUAGUAAAUAGGACAGUUACUGACAUAUUUUUGGAAGACAAAUGCUAACAAGAUACUAUCUAAUUUAUCUCCCCCAUCUUUCAUUGGUUUUUCAUAGUUCAGAAAGGAUAAGAGAAAUAGGGAAGUAUCAAAUGUAGAAAAUAAAACAAAUGUGUAACUGAAAGGAAUGACAAAAUUUCUUGCCGGUUUAAUGUCAAACUUGGCUCAUCACAUAGAAAGACGAUUUUAAUUGUUUCUAAUAGACAAGAAAUAAGAGGAAAGACAUUACCUCAAGUACCAUAUGAAGUAAUUGGAAAGCAGCACGCAUCCCAUUGUCUCUUAAGGUAAAACGAAAUUCCAUACAAAUGAAUUCUUCAGUUGACUCCAGUGAGCAAUUUAUAAGGUGGUUUACACAGAAAAGUUCCACCUGAAGAAGCAUAAAGCAUUUUAAAAUGAAUGAUCAAUAAAACCUUGUAGAGGAUUAGUAGUUACACAGACACAGAAAUUCAAACUGCACCACAUUUUCUUAGCUAUUUGGUACAAUUAUAUCCAUUGACUCCCUAAAUAAAUUAAGCUAUAAAAGCCAUAACAGUAUACAUUAAUAUAUCCACAAAAUACUGGAUAUACACAAUAGAAUCUUCAGUGCCAGAAAUUGCUCAGAUAAGCAAAGAUAGGAUAUUGAAAAACUGUUUCUGCUCAAUUAUCAACGAAUUAAAUGAUGAGUAGCACAGGUUUCAUUUCAAUUCCUUUAUUCCAAAACCGGCUGUUCACAUAUAAAAUAUGACUUUGUACAUCAACUCAAGAGCCAAGCUCUAGCUCCUACAUACCUUUAGACAAACAUAAACAGAAUCAUGAGCCUAGUUGAUGUAAGACAACCAAAAUUUUUUCAGCUUGACUAACUUACAACCAUAUGAACAACAAGCACAGUCCCACAGCAACAGCAUCGAAUAGCUUCCAAACAUCAGCAUAAUGUAACCAGCAAAUCGUUCAAGACAAUCAAACACUACGAAUAUCCAAUAUGUUCUAGAAAAAAAGCAGAACUUAACAAAUAUCCUGAAGCUGGAGAAAUACCAAAACCAAUUUCUCAUGAAAGGAUCCAUCAACUAGAGUACAGAUUAUCUGAAUGAUGCAGAGCAAUUUCCAUUAGUAUAAAAGUCAUCAAUUAGGUUUACAACUUGCGUUCUAAAUGCAUUCCUUAAAGUAUUGUCUCUCUACUCCUUAAAAGGAGAACCCGCACAAGAAGGGAGUCGAAUGACAGUAACCAAAAGCGAAGUGCCUACAUCCCAACACAACAUCUAGUUUUCCUUAUCUCCAUAAAAACAUUGAUCUUGUACAAAACUUUGGCAACAAAACUUUAUGCCAAAAUUUACAAAUAAAGACAUCCUUAAGUACUUAAAUGUGGGAAUAGCUUGAAAGAAACAAAUAUAAAAUUCAAAUUCAUAAUAAGGGGUUCAAUUGAACCCACUAGCUUUGAUGUAUUUCUUGCACUAAACAUGUAUAAUGCAACUCUAAAAAUAAGGUAAACUUAAACCAGAAGACGUUGCAUCUUUACCUGUUCUCGUGAAAAGCUACCAACACGACCACCCUCACUCAGAGUUCGAACCCCCACUAUGACAGCUCCCUUCUUCUCCAAAUCUUCAGCAGCUCGUCCACCACCAACUAUAAGCCUCAUGACGCCACACUUUGCUUCACUUUUUGAUAUCUGUGCAAAAUACAAUAGAUGUAUCAACAAGAUGCCAAUUUCAAGAUCCGCAGGCAAAGAAACUGCAAAACUUGAAUGCUUUCUAGAAAACAUCAAAGCUUCACAUUUUCAUCAAAAUGCAAAAAUGACAAACCUAGAUGAAAGGAAAAGGAAGGACAAGGGCAAAGCAAGAAUCAUCACCAGCUGCAAUUGACUUCUUAAUGCUAGAAGUUCUUGUUAUAAAAGGUUAAUGAAUAACACUCCUCAAGAAGAAGUAAAAUGGCUAGUACAAAAACUAACACAAAAAGAGACGCUAAAAUCAGAAAAGAAAAAAUGAAUACCAACAGGUAUCCCCAACUUCAUUUUGUCAAUGAAUCAAAUGUUAUUUGUGACAGAGAAGCAAUUUCAAAAACCUUCAAAUUCUGCAGCAGGAUAAAAACAAGUUAAGAUGCAUCCAUCUUGUUUCAAUUCUAUGAUAUGAAAAACAUAUUAACUCUAACUCUGUGGCAUCUUGGCAUGAAUGUGAAGCUUUACCUUGUAAUUCACAGGAAUUCCAUUGGAAAGUCUCCGCUGCAUGAUUCCUGUUUCUGCAUCAUAGACUUUAGUCUGAUUUACAUCUGGUCCAACAGAAAGAAAUGAAGGCCUACGCAGCAACAUCAAUUCUUGCAGCUGUUUUGUUGUUAUUAAUUCUUUUGGCACCUCAAGCUGCAUGGGUAGACAUAUCAAAUCCAAGUCAAAGGAAAGUAACUUCAUGGGGCAGAAAUGCCCUAUUCUUCUUUAGACUUAGCAGUGCUCAUUGGUGAGGUUGCCAGACGCAGAAGUUGUAACCAAAAUUUCAGCCAGCAGUCUAUACUCGAUAAUUUGAAUAGAAAAAUGAUCCUUAAGGAUGAAGGAGAAAAGUGCUUUUGAUCCAGGCCCUUUCCAUGUAGUUCUAUAUUACUCUAAAGACAGAAUCUCAAAACCAUCGAUAAAGGCAAAUGAGAAAAGUUGUACAGAAGGGGUACCUCUGGCUCAGCCUCUACGGGUUCCUUUAAACCUGCUUCAAUAGCAGCAGUUAUCUCUGUUGGGGUUAUCUUGAAGUCAGUUUCACCCAGUCCAUCCAUGUGUACCUUCAUUGGAACACAAGCAACAAUUGCUGCAGGAAGGGGUGCAGAAGGUUUUCCAAAAUCCGAUAUGAAUUCCAACACUUUUGCACCAACAGCAUUAACCUGCAAGUAGACUGUCUUAGCAAAAUAUUCGGUUCUCUAUAAUGAGCUAACAGGAUAUACUGGGAUCUCAAAGAUCCUAAUAUUUGCAGCAUUUUUAUGACAAAUUUUUGUACUCCAAUGAAAUCUUAUCGAUCAUAAAAAUUUCAAGACAGUAAACCAUUCCAAAAUAAGCCCCAUAUAAAUUGAUUGAUAAGAGGAUAAAUAUGAGGUGCAUCUAUAUCCUCCAAAUAAUAAAAUUUAGCAGACAAAAUUUGCGCCAUCGGGUAAAAUCAUUCAACUUUGAGAUUUACCUCCUCAAGAGUAAUGGUUCCAGCAACAGCAACCAAACUCUCAUGUCCUUGUCUUUGAUCCAUCACUCUAUGGCCUAGAGCAUCACUCUCCAUGAUGAAAUCCAGAUUAUCCACAGAUGAAACGUUGUCAAUCAUAGCAGCCAACUGCUCACUAUCUUUCAGCAGUGCAUCCAAAUAACGGGUCAAUUCACCUUUUGUUACACCAAAUUUUUUAAGUCUACGGACCUGAAUGAUGCACAAUGUGAUAUAACAAAUAUGAAAAAUUCAGAAAAGUAAAACAAUAUCCAUCAUGAAUAAAGGAUGUUACUGUUAAAAGUCAUGUGUUUCGUUUAAGAUGAAAACACAUUGAAGACAUAAGUUCUGCUCCCCAGAUAAACUAUGAUAAUAGAGCUGAACUAUAGCACUUAGACCAAUGAUGUGUGCAUGUCCCUAAUAAAUUCAACAACACCUACUGGAGAGAAAACAGAUGAAGAAAAUUGUUGUGAAUGCUGAAGAAAUUUAGGGUGGGAAAAGCAAACAACCUCCUGAACAGCAACUUUAAUUGCACUCUGCCAGUUUUUAGGUUCAGCAGUCACUGUAAGUGUGGUCACUGUGCAACCUUCCCUUCCAGAAUCACUAUGAUCCAACUCAACCGAAGUAAAUGGUGGAUUUGAACUCUGAAACGACUCAAAGGUUAGCUAGGAAGAAUAUUAUACAAUCAAAUAACCGAAGCUGUAAAACAUGAACAGAAAAAGGAAAAAGAUACAGAAGACACUGAAAAUAACUGAAAAGAGAUGGAUUAUGAGAGUCAAUCAUCAUAAAAAAAGUUGUGUUUCAUGGAAAUUCACAUAACACAAGCAGAAGGGACUCAAAGAAUGCCUGAGCUGGUGAUGAUCUAUUACUACAAACAGUUAAUUCGUAACCUAAUGAAAUACCUAUCUUUGCUUACCAAAAAGUCGCUCAAUUACAUAAUACUAUAAUAGCCUAAUUAAGAAGACCUACAAGUCAUCUCUUUAGGUUUCUUAGUUUCCCACUGGAUGUGAAUAUUUUGACUUUAAGUUAAUAUUAAAAAGACAAAAACCAAAGAUAAGUGCCUCAUAAAACAGAUGGAACAACAAAUAAUGUCCAAUAAGUUGCCAGGUGGACUAAUUUAAUAAAUGAGAUACAAGAGUUUGGAUAAGUCACCACACCUUGUAUCUGGUAUUAAUACGAAAAUGCAGAGCAGAGAGAAAUAUCCUCUUCAUCAGCACAUUACGCAAAUCACCAAAACUUUGAACCUUGUUCACAGGGAUCUGCCACAAAAUAACAUUAGGAGAAAAUUGAUACAGAAGAAGGAUAGCACAAGGUCUCAAUAAACAAAAGAAUGUGAUCAAUUCAAGCUAGAAAUGCUAUCAGUUUAGAUGAAUGAAUACAGCCAGUUAGCCACAUAAACCAAAGUAUAGGAUUCGGACACCAAAAAAAGGCAUUCAACUUGCAACAAAGAAGAAAAGCAGUGACCAGUCCAUCAGCCGGAAGAUACGACUAAACGUAAAUGCAUUUGAAAACAGUUAAAGAAACUGGUUCUGGAAAUGCUAAGCACAAUUCAACGGUACUACAUUUUAGCUGAGUAAGCCUGGUCAUAUCAGUAAUCCUGAAGAGUAAACCUCAGCAAUGGAUUCAUCUUAAAGACUCCUCAAUCAACUUUACCAAGUAAUUCACACUUAGACCAAAAACAGACCCCACAUUUUCAACUUCUCAUUCCUAAGCUAUAUCAACUGUAACUCUUCACUCAAAGUACUCUUCAUAUUGGGAUCAUGAAUAUUUGGGCAAACAACUUAGUGUAGAAAAAGUGUAAGACAUAACUAAUGUGAGCUGCUUUUCACCUUGCAAAACAUAUUAAUUGAGAAAUUCUGAAGCAACUCAUGCUGAAAUAUCUGUGGUGGCUUCAAAGCAUCAUUGCUCCCAGGAAGUGACCAGUUAUGCUGGACAGGAGGACGAACUGCAUGCCUUUCCCUUCUAAAGAUCUUUGAUUGCUCCACAGAACCAGAUGACUUGUCAUGAGCUAGACUACCAGCCAACCCAACAGUUAGCUUAGGCACUAAUAAACUAGCCAUUGCACCAAAAGUACUUGGUGUAGGAGGAACAACUGUUUCACUUUCCACACCAGUCUGACCAAAAACACUCUGCACAAAUUUGCAUGAGUUGAUGUAUCAUCAAAAUGGCCAAAUGGAAAGCAAGAAGAAUGACGUUUGAAGCAUACAAGAAACUGCUACCAAUAUCCCCAUGUCAAGACAAAAAGGAAAAGAGUUACUGUACAACUGAAAUGGGACAUACUUCAAUAUGCUGAACUGUCUUUGGAAUGUUAUCAAUAUCCCCCACAACGUAUAAGGUGGCAUUUCCAGGAAAGUACCAACGUUCAUGGAACUUCCUAAUCUUAUCAGCAUCCCAUUUCUUAAUCUGCUCUUCCAAUCCAAUCGGGAAUCUUUUACUUAGCUUGUUCUCAGAGUGCAAAUAUUGUAACAACUGUGUCAAAAAGAAAAGAUGGAAAACCUUACAAUAGGCCAUUACAGUAGGAAGCAAAUGCAAUGUGGCAUGCCUGUAUAUAAAAUUGCAAUUACCUGACAAUCAACGCGAUAUUCUAUGGUGUUCAUCAUUUGUAGUUCUGAUAAAAUUGCCCGUCUUUCUUUUUCAACUCGAGAAGCCAGAAACUUUGGGUGAAAAGCAAUCUACAUUGAUUAAAAAUUUCAUUAGAUUGAAUACUUUCUUAACCACAAUCAACUAGAAAAAAGGAUCUAUACAUGUAAUCAUACUUACUACUUUGAAGUCAAAAAUUGAAGGAAAUUUCAGUAAAACAUUUGUUUUAAAAAUAGGCCUGCAAGAAUUAGAAUGUGAAAUGUGUACCUCAUUAAGGGCAUCAAGAACAACUGGCAGUAGUUCAUCAUCAGAAUCCUAUAAAACAUGAUCCAAUUAAUUGUCAAAACAUGCAAAACAUUUUAGGCAUACUCAUAGAAAGCAGAGACAGAACAUUGAAUUUGACAUGCUCAAAUGUGGAAUUUAAAAAGCAUAUAAAUGUGCCAGAAAAAUCACAUUGAAAGUUGGUCCAAUACUUCUAGUGUAGCUCAUUAAUACUGGGACACAAACUGACUUCAGUCAGAUAGACCCUGUUCACAAGAUAACUACCAUUCGUACCAUCAUUAACAAAAAAAGCUCUCUCAUUCCAAGCUUCUUAUAUUCUAUGAGACUUUAAUUUUCAGCUCUGUCCAUUUUCUCCUCUGAGGGGAGAGAAAGGAACAUUGAAACGAUGGAUAACUAGAAUUAGCAAACAGUUGUCCAAUGAGGUAAGGUGAAAAAGUUGAUAUCCAGCGCUGUGUAUGCAGAGUGUGUGUGUGUGUGUGAUUUCCAGCUUAAAAAUGAGAUAUUUAGGAUACCAACAACAAGGGGCUGGCCGCACAAUUGUUAUUGUUUAUGCGUACAGACAGAGAUAUAGUCAAGGAAAUACUAGGAUUAAUAUCAAGAUGGCUAAGGAAUAAUUACCAACACCAGGUUACACAAGCUGCAAAUAAAGUUCUAUAACUCCAUACAAGGUCAUUUAUAUUCAAACAAUAAUAAAGCACUGUUUUCAUUAAAGGAAAUUCUUGGAAUAUCAACACUAUUAAGGAACUAUUGCCCAACCUUAGGUUAAUUAAGCUGUAAAUAAAGUUUUAUAACGCCACACAAGUUCACAUAAAUUCAAACCAGAGAACAGCACUGUCUUCAUUAGAAAAUCCAAGUGUACUACUACUACUUCUUGAAGGCAUUAAGACUUGUAAAGUUAAGUCCUAAAUCUAGAAGGCCAAUGAAAUUUUCCCCAUUCGCCACAGGAAGCCCUUUCCAAGCUCCCACCACUGGAGGUCCAGGGCUAAUCAGGCCUCCAGAUGUCUGUCCUGCUUCCCCCCCCCCCCUCUUCCCAAAAAAAGAAAAAACGAAAAGAAUCUAAUUGUGUUUUAUUAGCUUUUUACAAACCUUAGUUCUGGUUGGCGAAUGGAUAUGAAACACAGUGUGAUGGAAAUCAGUAUAUGCGUUGGAUCUUGCCCCUGUUCCAAGAAGUUUCUCUCUCUUCUUACUUCCAAGGAAUGCAACAUGUUCAAUCAUGUGCGCAAUACCUUGCUCAUCCUCUUCCUCAUCAAUUGAACCAACAUGAACUUCCAUGUGUGCCUCAAACCUUAAAGUUCAAGGAGUGUAUAUCAGUACGACUUACAAAAUACAUGAAAGAAAUGGGGGAUAAAGCGACAAUAUUUGCUGCUAUGAAACUACACUUGUUCUCAAAUAUAUGUGUGUGUGUAGGGGUGCGUGUGUGUGUGUGUAUAUAUUAGCUGGAAUGGGAAUUCUAUUUUGAUGGGCUUUCCAAAGCCCAGACAAGUUGGACACCAUAAAGCAUUGCCUUUUUAAUUUAACAGCUAUUGCUUGUCUACAGUUACAACAGCUCAUCCAUGAAAACAGAUUUGAAUGUCGCAAAUCAGAUGCUAGUGAAAGGAAAUUACAUAGUUAAUCUACGAAUUCUUCCAAUAUGUGUGUGUGUGUGUAGGGAUUGUAGCUUUCAUCACCACCAAAUUUGCAUGUUUAGGUUGAAAUGCAAUAUCUAUGCUGUCAAAGGUACUGUAACUAUGCAUCUUGACAAGAAAAUCAUCUGAAACAUUUAUCAUAUUACCUUAUUCACUUUUGAUAAAAUUUUACGUGUAUUGGUUUGUCCUAUAUUAUGUCCUACUGCUUGCUUUCCAUACAUCAUCAAACAUAAAUUGUAAACUGUACACAGAUAUAUAAUUUAGAAUAUACAGACAAGCUAAACAAAACAUAACAUGCAUAUCAACAUAUAAGAUAUAUGAUCAAGCUCAUUGAAUGUGAUGAUUAGUUAGCUUUUACAUAGAAUAUAUCACAUGCAAAUAGUACAUUCUUGAAUCAAAGUAAGAUGUUUGACCAAAAAAGUAACGCAUUUUCUCUUAGCAAAGACAAAACUUGAGGAACACAAAUGUAUCCAUAGUGCAUCAUAACAGAAAAAUAAACCCCCCCCCCCUCCAGACCCAAAAAGAAUUCAAUAGUGAAAUUAAAAGAAGAAAAAGAAGAAAGGUAGAACUCUAGAGUUAGGCAGGGCCAACAUCUGUUGGAUUUCUUUCUCUUAUGUCUUGCUAGGCAAGAAAAAGAAUGUAGGAAUUCCAAGAUAAUAGGGUGUCGCCUGGGAAGUUUUUCAAAUAGGUUCUCCCUAGCUUCUGAACACAAACCUUCCAGUGACAAUCCUUGCCACACCCCCGUACAUAAGGAUUUCUACCUAAGGGAAACAACAAGAACCUCACUCUUAGACACUUCACCAUUAGAGAAGAUGAGUGAGAUUAACCAAACUUCUGAAGAGCAAUUCUUGUUAAUGUGACAAUGACGCCUCUCUUGUAUGACUAAAUAUACAAUCUGCUCUCUUGAUAACACUGAAUUACUUUUGUGCAUCAUUAAAUCAUCAUACACCAUUCCAGAAAAGAAGUACCUGCUUGGAGGAACCUUGUUUGGUAAAAUGAGGUAUCGGAGACCAUUCCUUAAUUGUCCUCUGUGAAGUUUUGGGUGAGAUGGUAGUUCUGAGCUCAAAAAACGCUCAAACUCUGAUCUUUCAAGUUCAGGAUCAUAUAAAUCAAGACCCUGUUUCUCUAGAACACCAUCUGGCCACGUUGUGCUUGCAGCAUGCGGCUCUUCUGGACCAAGAGUUGCACGUGGAACAUUUAGUUGUUUCACCUAAAAUUGGACUUUCCAGUGUUAACCAUACUACGUUCAAAAUCAAAAUUUUAAUCGCUGGAGUUUAUUUAUUGUGCAUACGAGCUAAUAAACCAACAAGAUUCCUAACAAAUGAACAACAUUAUAUGAGAACAAAGCAAUUAAAUCAAAUUGACUGUCGGAUACUAGUAACCAAACAAAAGCACACUUCUGUCUGCAUCAUAUAAGCUAUGUGGAAACAUGACCAACUGUUAUCAAUCAAGUGUCAACACAAAAUUAGGAGUUAGUAAAUAAUCCUUUCUAAUAACACUUAAACGACAAAAAGCACACAGAAAGUAUGAUUAUCGUCAUUCCAUCGCAUAAACGAUCAAAUAUCAUAAGGGUGACAUGCAAUUAAACACUAAGAAACUGAAAAACGCUGAAAAACGCCGUGAACUAAUCCAUACCUUGCCUGCAAGGGAAUUAUCAACGUUCUGCUUCAAGAUAUGAGAUGCAGAUUUAUCAAAGAACGCUCCAGUUCUGAAUCUAUGACCACCAACCCUUUUCUGAUGUGGAUAAUGGAAGCAAGAAAUACAUUUACUCCCAUCCAAUAAGCUCGUUGGGGCACAAGGAAAUCUUUUCAAUGCAUUCUACCAUUCAAAAAAGGGAUUUAGCUAACAAUUUAUUCACUAUUCAGCAAAAUAUACAAAUCAACUGCAAAGACAAUAAAACUUGCACAAGCUAAUCAUCUCACUGUAGCAAACAAGUAAGAACAACAAGAGAAUUAGUUCCCCACCUUGCUUCCACCCUUAAGCUAUAAUUGUCAGCUAUAAUUAAUCUUUAAAAAAAAACUUUACAGCAAUUCUUCCCGCUAAAACCCUUUUUUUUUCUUUCAGAUUACUCAAUCAAAUUCAUAAAAACAGAUUAAAAUGAAGGAACAAUUAAGCAAAAAAGAAGAAAGAAAAAAUCAAACACCUUGGGGGAGAUAAGGUGGGUGCGACUCCAGCGAUGUUUAUCCGAACGGGAGGUGAUCGUGGCCUUCUUCCGGUGAGCCCAAUUCUGAUUAUGAGCUGGGAAUAAUAAAGAACUUGGAGAUGAUGCUAAUGAUGAUGAAGGGUUGUGGUCAGUGGUGUUAACUGACUUGAUAAUUGGGACUGGAGCAAAUAAUACAGGUUUUGCAUUGAAUAUAGCUGAAUUAGUCUGCAUAAUUACAAUUAGUUUUGUUGCUCAAAUAUUAGGGUUUAUGGAAGGGAGACGAAAUUGUUGAAGAUUGAAGCAGGGAGAAGAAGAAGAAGAAGAAGAAGACGACAGAAAAAUUGUUUUUGUUUUGUUUUGUUUUGUUUUCGCCUUUUUCUGGGUUUUGGUUUAAUUUAACGGUAAUACAAAACACGGGGGAGGGGCAAGUGGUGGCGGUUUAGCCAAUUGGCGCAGAUUUUUUCUUUUCUGGAUAUUUCUGCCCUAAUAUGAAAUAUCUCAGUAUGGUACUUACUGCUACUUACUACUACUUUUUAGCUAAAAAUAAAAUAAAGGAUAAAAAAGCCAAAAAGGAAUUAUUCACAAUAAAAAUUUUCCACUUUCAACCUCAUAUGUUUUCUGGAUUCCCAUCUUCUAUAGUCAACCUUUAUUCAGAAUAAAAUUAACUUGAAUUCUUGUCAUGCUCUCGAGAGAGAGCUAAUUGAACUGAAAGGAAAUUAGACCAAUUGAUCCAAAUAAAAAAGAAAGAAAAAAAUCUUGGGCGCUAUUUUUUAUUUUCGUGUGCAGUUUACUAUUCGAAGUUGAAUGGAAUUCCAAGAAGAAUUUUGAUUAACAAACUAUGGACUUCCAAGAAGAUUAUUUGGGAUAAUUUUUUUAAAAAAUACUGCAAUACUUUCUCAAUGUGACGUAGCAUGUAAAAUAGAAAAUAUAUUUAUGAUAGAAACAAAUAAAGGCCUUAUUUGGCAAGCAAGUUAUUUGCCAAGUUUGUCUGUUUCAGGUUUUUUAAUAACUUUAACUACAGCAACCUUAAAAAAUUUUUCAAAGUUUUUAAAUUAUACAUUUCAAAAUAUCCAAAAAUUUAAAUAUUUCAAAAAAAAUUUCUACAAUUUCUACAAUAAGUUACAAUAAAAUUUUAAACAAAUACCCAAAAAACUCACUUGCGGAAGGGAGCCAAAUUUUUGCAAAUAAUCUACUACCAUCCAAACAAACUUGGGCCGAGUGUUUGUUUUGCAGCUCCCCAGCUUUUGGCCAGAGAUGAAGAUGAUGCUGCUGGCUGGGGCUGGGAGUCCAAGGUCAAUGUUUGGUUUGGACCUAUUCAAAUUCCAAGCAAAGAUGUUCCUUUGUGCAAACGCAAUUGAUUCCAACUCCACAACCAAACUUUCUAGGAUUUUUCCCUUUCAUAACAUUGUAAGUAGUUUCAAAGUAAAAAGAAUUAUUAGGGGAUUAAUUAGUGGGAGUGAAAACAGGAAGUGCUAUACGAGAUAAGGCUCUUGAUAAAAAAGCAUUACAUCCAAAAAAAGUGGUUGAAUCAAGUUCAACUUUUGUGUUGAAGUAUGUCACUCCAUAUCCAGUUGCUCUCAAUUAACAUCAUCAUCGUCAUCAUCAUCAUAUACUUGGAAAAAAAUUGAAGAAAACAUGAUUUAUGAGGCAUAAAAUUCUAUGCCAGAAUUUAUGUCGACUAAUUUUCGACCAUUCCUGUUGCCAUGCUUUGUGAGUAAUCUAUGAUACUUCCAGUCUGGUACCCCUAUAAUCAGCACAUUAAAACAAACUUGAUUUAGAAAAGAAGAAGAAGAAUAAACAAAAGCAAGAACUACCAAACAAGAUUAUCCGAAAUUCUGAGUAACUAGUAGUAUUUACAUAGCUAAAGCACUAGCAAAACCCUGAACAGAAAACGAAUACUAACUAAAAAUCCUAUACUGUGCAUGACCUGCCUUAUUAUCCCAGAGGACCAAGACAAGGAGCCUCUGAAACUACCGCCGUCAUAUGACAUAUAUAUAUAUAUAUCCAGUUAAGCAUGACGACCAGAAAAGAAAAAAAAAAAAAAAAACACCCAUCAUGAAAUAUGAAUCCUCAACAGUGAUGACUGCUGAUGAUGGGUUGGCCGAGUCUUGAUCUUGAAUGUUGUCUAGCGAAUAUCUUCUGAUCACGUACGUUCACGGCAUGGCCUCUCAUGAUCUCGGGCUGCAGCCAAGGCGACCACUCCAAACCAUCCUUCUCUGAUUCUUGAAUAAUCUUCUUCACUUGAUUAUGAACCACUGGAUAACGAUGAUCAUGAUUUUCGUGAUUGAUAGCAGUAUUCCCCUCUUCCCUCUUAUUGCUGCUCAUGAUGAUCUUCUCUAAGCAAGGCACUUGAAAAAGAGAAAUACAGUUUAGGGGUCCAGGGAAGACAAGGAUUGGGGACGGUUUGGUUUGUUUAUAUGAGGAGAGUCGUAGGUGAAGAGGGGAACAUAAUUCUUAUCUCUUUCUUUGGAUUGUUUCAGUUUGAGACGACAGGGACGACUUUUGUGGACCUCUUUAUAUGUAAUCAGCCACUUGAUGAACUACGUCACUGAGCAGGUGAAAACUUGUACAUGUCAAUAAAAAGUGUUUCUUUUUUGGGUAUAUUUUGGUGUAUUAUUUCUUUAAUUUCUUCCCUUUUUUUACCCAUGAUUGAAAGGCAACAAUAAGGAAAACUUUUUUUUUUUUUUGGGUAAGGUUCUUUUAAAGAUAAAUACUAGUUAUUGCAAGAUAUUGCCUUUUGCUUAACAGAAAGGGAUCAGGGGCGGGGUAUCAGCUCUUCUGAUAGGAAGGAAUAAUUACUGAAACCAUGAUGAUGACAGUCACCGGAUUCGAUUUCUACAUAAUAUAUGCGUUUUAGAGCUAUGAUUGAACGUAUGAUGCAUAAUAUUUAGCUACAAGCUUAAGUACCCAACUAUAUAUUUAGUUACGGUUUUUCUAUUGGCUCAAUUGGAUCCUUUUAAAAUAGGUUAUAGUAGGUAUAGAAUAAACUAUUGUCGACUGUCGAAAUAUAUAUAUAUAUAUAUAUAUAUACACUUGUAAUUGUUAUUUUAGCUACUACUAUUUACUAUGCAUUAUGUUUUAUUCAGUUUCUUGCAUGCAGAAAAUAAAUGCAUUAUUUGGCAUUUACACAGGUUGAUUACUUUAUAGGCUGAUACAAAACUACGGUCCUCUUGUUUUGAACCAACCAAGGGGGUUAAAACCAAUUUUUUUAAGAAAAGCCUUUCAUCUAGACUCAAAAAUGAGUUUUUUUUUUUAAAGUAGUGGAGGGGAAUUUAAUAAGCGGGAAAGAGGAUUAAAAAAAAAAAAAGGAGUUUCCAACACAAAUUUCCAUCUUAAGUUGGACACGAAACUUCCAAUUGUUCUUACUUGACUUCAAAAGGUAUAAAUAGUUGUGAACUAUACAAAAAAUCUUCAAAAAUUGUUUGAUAUCUAUGGCCUUAAUGAUACAAUUGAUUUCCUAAUAGAAUUUUCACAGUUCUUUACCUAAUGCUCUUUCCGCGAAGCACUCUGGGAAUUUCGCAUUCAUGUUUAUGGUCAAAAUAAAUCCCAAGUAAUUUGGGCAUCUUCAAGAUAUUUCUUGGAUGCCGUCGCCGCUAAACCGAAUUGAAAAGGAGUUAUCUUUUGUCGACCAAAGAAAAGUAGGCUUUUCCUUGGUCGCAGUUGGUGAGAAUCUCUUCUUAACUUAUUUAGGGCCCGUUUAUCUAUAAUAAAUACUUUUGUUAAUAAAAAUUUUAGUCAAAGCAUUUAUUAAAUGCUUAAUCAUAUCGUUUGGUUGCAUAUUUGCAUAAGUAUAUUUUUCCUAUUUGAUACUGUGUUAUUUUAAAUUUCUAAAACACAUUUAUCUCUUCAUUUAGUUUAAAAUUUAUAAUAAAAUUGUUAAAUUAAUUUUGCAUUUUUUAAACAUAAAAGUUGCUCUAAAAAUACCAAUUUUAAAAUCAUGCCAAAAGUGCUUUAACAAUUCGCUCCUAAAUUUUAAAAAUGAUGGUCACCAAACAUGUUAUGAGUACGUAUAUUCUCCAAAAUUACUUUUUUAGCAAAGUCAUGGCAAACAUGCCUUAAUCUUUUAAAAAGAAUAAUUAUCAUAGGGCGGUAAGGCCUAGUACGUGUCUGUGUGAAGUGUGAACUCAUCGACUAUUUUCAAGUCCAAAAAGAAAAAAAAAAACAGAAGAACAUUUAUUCCCCUAAAGAACACGUAAAAAAAUAAUACUAAUACUAGUGGUUUUGACUGUUAGACCUUCUUAGUGCUUGACAUUUUGACUGUUUAGACCUUUCUCAGUGCAUACCCAAAUCAUUAUUUGAAUAGUCACCUAUCCUUCUAGAUUACUUCUGCUUGCCGUUUCAUUUUUUCUUUAAUUAAAGAUUGUGUUUACUGCCUCCUUAAUUUCACGGGGUAAAAUUUUUACUCUCCAAAUCUCUAGUUUACCAGUGACUAAUAUGAAUAUGUAACAUCAAUAGUUCAAAAUUGAGAUCAGUUAACGAGAUAUCAAGUCAACGGUUAAUUCCUUAUAUUUCUUCUGUUAUGUUAUCUAGAAAUAUUUUCCAAAUCUUGUUCCCAUUAAAUUUGUACAAUUGUGUUUAUUCAGUCACAGGGGAGGUAAGCCCAUGAACCACUUCUUGGUUCCUGCGUAUCAGUGGGAUACGAUAAAAAUUUCAUAUUUUUCACCCUUAAUUUGUUAUCCCUUUCAAAUAUAGAUCCGAUCAGAGCUGCGAUAAGUUUACAAAAAAAAAAAAAGCGUUUUUAAACACUAAGGGUGGUUUUGACAAAACUAAAAUCUGAAAUCUGAAAUUUAAAUCAAUUAAAUUAUUGAAUUAUUAAGUGUUAAAUCUAAUACAUUUGAGUGCAUAUCACAUUCACUGAUAAGUAAAUAGGUUAUCACUUAAUUUUGGGAGCAAAUUUUGUCUCGAAAAUUCACUGUCAUUUAAUUAAUUCAGAUGUUCAAUUUUUUGAUUAUCAAACAGUUUGAAUAUGUUAAGAUCUGAAUCCAUUAAAUUUAAGUGCUGAAUUGGGCUAUCAAACAAGGCCUAAAAAUACUUCUAGAGUGCUUGAUUGUUAAUUUUUCAUCAUUUAAAUAACUAAUAUAAAAGCAUUUUUGUUAAAAGCAGUUGUAUCAAAAACUUUUUUUUUUAUACGGUAUCGCAGCCCCAAACAAUUGCAUGUACAUGAUGCGAUAAAAAAAGACUUCUUAGUGCUUUUCUUUGAACUUACCUUGGUACUUACCAGGCCUUUUGACCCCAGUCAAGUCAACACCUUGUCAACCCAUC